Molecule: long non-coding RNA, 61062 nt
Filed under: Pelobates cultripes (western spadefoot toad)
Lineage: Eukaryota; Metazoa; Chordata; Amphibia; Anura; Pelobatidae
Source: RNAcentral
ACGGGACGUGUAGUUCUGGUAGCCAAGUCUACUUUGGGAAGAAACAAAAAUGUAAGAUAAGUGAUACGCAAGAACACUGAAACAAAACAACAUAAAAAUGUUAUAUAAUAUAAAUAUAUGUAUAUCUCGAGAGAGUUAUAAUGGUCUAAUUUGGAUAUUUCUUUUAUCAUUUUACUCCCAGCCAAUUGGCACACAGAGACUGUGGGCCCCUCUGGGUCACAGUGGCUAGCUGUUAUUCAUAUUUAGACAUAAUGCAUACUUGCUCACCCCAUGGGGUAAAAAAAACAAAUAUUUAGUUGAUAUGCAACCCCGCAAAAAAAAAGAAUUUGAUUUUAUUGUUGCAUAUUUUUACAGUUACUGUUAGCCCUCACCUGUGCUGGACAUUGGCCCAAGCAGAGGUUUCUCUUUAAGAAGCCGUGAGAAAAAUUGUAAAUGCACACAACUGACCAAUCAUGUAUUUGAGCUGCAGUGCGGCUCAUUGAAAAGUGUAUUAAAACAGGCAAGGAGCACAGCGUGCUUCUUCAUGAUCAAGGCCACUAUUAGAGUUCUAGGUGCCCACUACCAAACAAUUGCCUGUGCCACCAAACACACUCCCAGACUGCGAUACACUUUCACAGAUAUACCCCAACACACUCCCAGACUGCAAUACACUCUCACAGAGAUACCCCAACACACUCCCAGACUGCAAUACACUCUCAAAGAGAUACCCCAACACACUCCCAGACAGCGAUACACUCUCACAGAGAUACCCCAACACACUCCUAGACUGCAAUACACUCUCACAGAGAUACCCCAACACACUCCUAGACUGCAAUACACUCUCACAGAGAUACCCCAACACACUCCCAGACUGCGAUACACUCUCACAGAGAUACCCCAAGACACUCCCAGACUGCGAUACACUCUCACAGAGAUACCCCAAGACACUCCCAGACUGCAAUACACUCUCACAGAGAUACCCCAACACACUCCCAGACUGUGAUACACUCUUACAGAGAUACCCCAACACUUUCCCAGACUGCAAUACACUCUCACAGAGAUACCCCAACACACUCCCAGACUGCGAUACACUCUCACAGAGAUACCCCAACACACUCUCACAGAGAUACCCCAACACACUCCCAGACUGCGAUACACUCUCACAGAGAUACCCCAACACACUCCUAGACUGCGAUACACUCUCACAGAGAUACCCCAACACACUCCCAGACUGGGAUACACUCUCACAGAGAUACCCCAACAUGCUCCCAGAGAGAAUUUCACGGUGCAUACACAUGUUACAUUGGGUGUUACAAUAGAAAUACACCCAGGAAAAUGGCACGAUGGCAAAACUGGCACUUGAGAGAGUUGAGUGCCAAUGUAAAACAUCUUUGUGGUGAAGGCUUUCCUCCUGCCCAAAGACUGUGGACCUGGAUCUAGAGAUCCAUUUUGUCUGUUGAACUAAGUAGUUUAUUCACAUUGCUAUAUAACAACUGGUGCAGGUCUCCAAGCCAUGUCCUUCCUGAAAGGAUUAUAGUCACCACAAUUACCCUUCCAGUCCGUGUCUUGCAGCUCCUUUUUCCCGGGGCCCAUGAGUUACCAUAAGCCGGCGGGGAGACUACAGAGGCACGACACACCUGACUGGGAGCAACCCUCAAACUCUGUGGAACUCUCGGUCGGAUCAUGGAGUUGCCUCUGCCAGUUAAAUGUUGUAGAGAGUGCUCUCGAUCCCAGAGUCACCUACUAAAACGCUGUUUAGAGGGGAGAUCAGGGAGAAAGAGAGGCAUCAAAGGACACCUUGGACUUGAGGGAGCUGCUUGCCCUGGACCCACUAGAGGCCUGAGAGGAUGAUCGGGACUUAUGCACAAAUGGCCUGGAACUCUAAAGCGGAUCAGAGAACAGCCGCGACCCAGUAAAACUGCACCAAUCUGAAAUCAACAGCCAUACAUAACCUUUUCAUCUCAAAGUCACUCACACUACUAGCACUCACAGAGACCUCGCUUUCCCCCUCUGAUAGUGCUACUCCUUCGUCUUUAUGUUUUGGUGGGCUACAAUUCUCCUACACUCCAAGGCCCAACUGUAAAGGAGGUGGUGUAGGCAUCCUUCUCUUCCCUCAAUGUACCUUUCAACCAAUCUCCCCUGCCCUAUCCUUUACUUCCUUUGAAGUUCACACUGUCUGCCUAUUUAAACCCACUCCUUUAAGAAUUGCUAUCAUCUACAGCUCCCGUAGUCAUCCUAGGCUAUUUAUUGAGCACGUUUCUCCCUGGCUAUCUUACUUCCUCUCCUCUAGCACUCCUUCCCUUAUACUUCGGGAUUUUAAUAUUCCAAUUAACAACCCCAAUUGCACUGAUGCCUCUCGUCUGCUCUCUGUAACCUUCUCCUUUGGCCUCACGCAAUGGUCUAAUUCAGCAACCCAUACAGCGGGAAACACUCUUGACCUCGCCUUCACCAACCUCUGUACCGCCUCUAAUCUCUCCAAUAUUCCUUUUCUUCUAUCUGACCACCAUCUGCUGACUUUUGACAUCAGCACACCCAGGAUCCAACUGACACCACCCUCGGCACAUCAAUAUCACAAAAAACUCCAAUGUCUUGACCUAGAGAACCUCUCCACUAAGCUCCAAAUCUCUCCAAUAUUCCUUUUCUUCUAUCUGACCACCAUCUGCUGACUUUUGACAUCAGCACACCCAGGAUCCAACUGACACCACCCUCGGCACAUCAAUAUCACAAAAAACUCCAAUGUCUUGACCUAGAGAACUUCUCCACUAACCUCCAAACUCUCCUUGUAUUUAUUUCAAACCUCACCUGCCCUAGCUCUGCAAUCUCCUUCUACAAUUCCAGCCUCUCCUCUCAACUAGACAUUAUGGGACCUCCUACACAGCAAACGCCCCCAACUACAACCUUGGUACACCAAGCUGACUCGAUACCUUCAAAAAUGCUCCUGAACUGCUGAAUGCUGCUGGAGACAGUCUCACUCCGCAUCUGACUUUCUCCACUAUAGAUUUAUGCUGCGCUCUUACAGCUUGGCUCUUUCCUCUGCAAAAAUAAAUUACUUCAAUACCCUAAUAACCACACUCUCCUGCCAACCCAAACAACUUUUUCACACUUUUAACUCUCUUCUUUGCCCUGUUGCUCCUCCUCCUUCUCCGACCGCCACAAACUUUGCAGCUUACUUCACUAACAAGAUCUCUGCAAUAAGUGAAGAGAUGUCUCAUCUCUCUCCUUCCCCUUACAAUAUUUCCCUCAACCUCACUCCCUCUGCUGUUCUAUGUUCAUUCACACCCGCUACAGCAGAAGAGUUCUAAAUCUCUCCCUCUCCUUUGGUAUAUUUCCAUUACCCUUACAAAUAUGCAAUUGUAAUCCCUAUUCUAAAAAAGCCCAACCUUUACCCUCACUCCCCGUCCAACUACCGCCCUAUUCUCCUAUUCUGCUAUUGCCUUUUGCGUUUAAGAUCCUUGAAAGACUUGUGUAUGUGAGAUUGACAGAUUUCCUCGAGUCCAAUUCUCUGCAGGCUGGUUCCCACGCUCAGCACUCUGUGGAAACAGCUCUGACCAAAGUAUCAAACGAUCUAUUCGCUAUUCGCUGCAAAAUCUCAUGGUCACUACUCUAUCCUAAAUCUCCUUGACCUUUCUGCUGCUUUUGAUACUGUUGAUACUGUUGGAUCAUAAACAGCUUCUUCUCAUCUUCCGUAAUCUUGGUCUACGAGAUAUUGCUCUCUCCUGGUGCUCCUCCUCCCCCACCCAGGGCUCUUUUAGUGUCUCUUUUUCUGGCUCUGUCUCUUCCUCCCAACCACUCUCUGUUGGUGUCCCCAAGGUUCAGUCCUUGGUCCCCUACUGUUCUCGAUCUAUACUGCCCCCCUUGGUAAACUCAUCAGCUCCUUUGGUUUCCAAUAUCAUUUCUAUGCAGAUGACAUGCAAAUCUAUUUGUCCUCCCAUGAUCUCUCCCAGCCCCUCUUGACUAGUGUCUCUGACUGCCUCUCUGCUAUUUCUAACUGAAUGGCUGCCCACUUCCUUAAGCUCAACUUGUCCAAAACAGAACUUCUGGUCUUUCCUCCCUUGAGUGUUGUUACCCCCGUUUCUGUCUCCCUCCACGUUAAUGGUGCUACCGUCAGUACCACCACACAGGCUUGAUGCCUAGGUGUUCUCUUUGACUCCGACCUCACUUUCACCCCUCAUGUCCAGUCCAUCGCCAAAUCCAGCUGCUUCCAUCUUAAAAACAUUACCAACCCACAGGCAGGGAGGGAGGCAGGAGAAGACCCGGGGAGCUUUUGUCAGCAGCUCCGCCGGGUUCCUCUCGCGUGGUCGGAUCGGCAGUGCUCAGAUCUCGCGAGAGUGAACUCUAGCCCCACAGGGGGCUAGAGUUCACUCUCCACUGGACCACCAGGGAAGGCAGGAGCACAGUCCCCCCUCCCUACAUAAGGUAAGAAGGGAGGGGGGAUAUUAACUAAACGGCCCCCACACUCCCACACAUUACACACAAACAUACAGCACACACACACAUACAUCAACCUUACACACACACACUAACAGCACCCUCACACUAACAACACCCUUACACACACAGCACCCUCAUACAUAAACACACACUAACAGCACCCUUACACACAGCACCCUAACACACACAGCACCCUUACACACAGCACACACUAACAACACCCUUACACACACACACUAACAGCACCCUCACACUAGCAACACCCUUACACACACAGCACCCUCACACAUACACAUACACACAGCACACACUAACAGCACCCUUACACACAGCACCCUCACACACACAGCACACACUAACAUCACCCUUACACACACAGCACCCUUACACAUAACAGCACCCACACACAGCACACACUAACAGCACCCUUACACACACAAGCACACACUAACACAUACACACAGCACACACCCUAACAGCAACACCCUUACACACAGCACCACUACACACAGCACACACUAACAGCAGCACAGCACCCUCACACACACAGCUAACAGCACCCUUACACACACAGCAUCCUUACACAUACACACACAGCACACACUAACAGCACCCUUACACACAAAGCACACACUAACAGCACUCUUACACACACAGCACCUUCACACACUCACAGCGCCCGCACACACACACAGCGCCUGCACACACACAGCGCCUUCACACAGCACCUACACACACACAAAGCGCCUACACACAGCACCCUCACACACACAGCAGUGUGUGUGUGUGUAUGUAUGUGUAUAUAUGUGUGUAUAUAUAUAUAUAUAUAUAUAUAUAUAUACGCAGUGUGUGUGUUUCUGCUUUAGGGUGCACACCCUUAUACAAUAGGCUGGGCACGCCUACGAUAGCAUGUGAGGAUAUGUUAUGUCAUUGUUUAAUUAUUGUACAAAAUGUAAAACAGAGAAGGUUUUUGUUAUGUUCAGGGGAUAAUUGUAUUAGAACCUUUGUGUCUGGGAGUUGAGUUAUUGCAUAAAAGGUACAACAGAAACUAAUUUGUUUUUUGUAUAAUAGCUAUUGUGCAAUGAUUCUUGGUGUCAGGCAGAUAAUUCAGUUAAGGAGUCCUAAAGGAACACUAUAGGGUUUUGAACACAAACGUGUAUUCCUGACCAGGGCCGUCUUUAAGGAGGGGCAAAAGGGGCAGCUGCCCCGGGCCCAGUUACUCCUGGGGGCCCUAAGGCAGCUGCCCCAUGGGCCCCCCUGCAGCACCUGAGGUAAUCAGGGGCCACAGCCCUUUAAUACUGCUCUGGACCGGGCCCUGGUAAUAUGGAGGUUGGCUGAAUACAAACACACAGCUAGCCCCUCACACACUGCCCUGUGAUCCCUUUUCUUCCCCGUGGCAUGCUGGGAGGAAGUGAGGUCAGAUCACUUCCUCCUCAGUGCCGCUGGGGAGGAGGCACACACCACACGGAGGAGGAUGCAAGCAUUGUUGGGGAGAGGGACUGAGAAAGCUGAUGGCAGACUCCCAUCAGCCUGGGCCAACAAGCUCCCACUGGACCCCAGGGAAGCCACCUUUCUGUACCCAAAAGGUAAGGAGACAGGAGGGUGGCUAAAUAUGCUUUGUUUUUUUGUUUUGCUUAUUUCUGAUAUCACUUUUAUUCAAGUGUUGGUGUUUGUAAUGUAACACACAGGGAAUAAGUACAUGUUAAAAAUCCUAGAAGAACCCGACAGUUCCCUAUUAAAUAUACAUUUUCAAAGUAUUUAUUUUAACAUAUUAUUGCAUCAAGUGUUAUCAAAGGCUGUAUACCAUUUCCAAAUGUCACUUUUGCCAAAUUCUGGACCAGGGUAUGUAAGAACAGAGUUGAGACAUUAUUAUGGCCAAGGUUGCUGGGAGUUGCUGUCCAAGAGCUGCUAGAAGGCAGAGAUUAAAAUAUGUAAAUGUACACAUAUAUGUGUAUGUGUAUCUGGCUGUGUUUAUGUCCUUGUGUGUAUCUGGCUGUGUUUGUGUCAGUGUGUGUAUCUGGCUGUGUUUGUGUCAGUGUUUGUAUCUGGCUGUGUUUGUCUGUGUGUCAGUGUUUCUGUGUGUAUGUAUACAUGUGUAUGUGUACUUGUGUGUCAGUGUGUAUGUGUACCUGUGUGUGUGUGUGUGUGUUUGUGUGUGUGUGUGUGUAUGUAUGUGUCAGUGUGUGUAAGUGUGCAUCUGAGUGUGUGGUAAUGCAUACAUCCCAGAAUUUUAAUGCCAACACAAAUACACUCCAUCUCUAGCACUGUACACAUAUACACCCCUGCAUUUAUACCUUUAUGUAUGUGUGUAUCUGAGUGUGUGUGUACAUACCUGUGUCAGUGUGUGUGUGUACCUCUGUGUGUGGAUGUGCCAGUGUGUGUGUGUAUCAAAGUGCUUGUAUCAGUGUGUCAAAGGGUGUGUAUCUGAGUGUGUGUGUGUAUGUGCCAGUAUGUGUCAAGGUGUGAGCAUGUGUCAGUGUGCCUAUGUGUGUAUCUGCGUGUUAAUGUGUAUGUGUAUAUGUGUUAUAGAAAUCACACAACAUGCAAACAGAUCCCUGCAAACACAAACAUUACAUACAAACACACCAGUUUGCUGAAACACCAAUACUACACACAAAUGUACCCAACACUACAUCCAAACAACCCCCUGCAUGCAAAUACAAACAUUACAUACAAACACAUUCCUGUAUUAAAAUGCUAAAAUUAUAUACAAACACCAACUCUACACACAAAAGUACACCUGCAUUUAAAAGCCAACACUACAGACAAUCACACAUUACUGCAUUCAAACGCAAACACUACACACAAGUACACCACUGCAUUCCAAUGGUAACAGUACAUACAAAUACACCCCUACAUGCACACAUACACUCUAUACAAUAACAUGCUGACAUUCAAUUGCACAAACACUGCUCAAAAAUACAACCCUGCAAGGAUGGUAGAUCCCCACCUGGCAAAGCAUCGCAGGAGUUGUAUGACAGAUGGGGAUCUAUCUUUUCUUUACUCUUGUGCUACAGGGCAGGCCUGAAUUAUUAUUUUUUUUGCACCAAGGCACUCUCUACAUUAGUUUCGCCUCUAGGUUGGGGUGGAGGGAGUGAUUGCAUGCCCAGGGGGCCCAAGCAGAUGCUUGCCCAGGGUCCAAUCAAUAUUAAAGACGGCCCUGUUCCUGACCCUAUAAUGUUAAAACCACAAUCUAGCCCCCCUGCCCGCCCUCUACCUCCCCCCACUUGUCCUCCCUAAAUAUAGUAAAAUAUUACAUUUUCUCUAGUCUGCUGCUGCUGGCUCUUCCCCUAUUCUGCCUACUUGGCUGACAUAAUCAAAAGUGUUGAUGAAAGCGAAUUGAUUGUCUAAGAUUGCCAAGGAGGCAGAUCGUGGCAGAGCCAGCUCAAGCCAAACACAGCCCUGGCCAAUCAGUAUCUCCUCACAGAGAUGCAUUGACUCAAUGCAACUCUAUGAGGAAAGUUCAGUGUCUGCAUGCAGAGGGUGGAGACUCUGAAUGUCAGUGCACACUGUGCAGCACCGACCCAGGAAGCACCUCUAGUAGCCAUCUGAGGAGUGGCCAAUGGAGGUAUCCCUAGGCUGUAAUGUAAACAUUGCAUUUUCUCUGAAAAGACAGUGUUUACUGCAAAAAGCCUGAAGGGCAGAACAAAUACAAUAAGCAGUGGUUGAUCUGGUGACUAUAGUGUCCCUUUAAUUUGUGGGCUUCUUGUGGGUUCCUUAUUCCAAAAUGCAUGACUUUGCAUUUACCUUUAUUGAAUCUCAUCUACCAAUUGCUAGCCCAGUUUCAAUGCCCACUUCAUUUAUAAACAAAUUAAAGAGCAGUACACCCAGGAAUGAACCCUAAAGGGACUCCACUUACCACUUUUAUCCAGUUCAAAAAUGUUCUUUUUAAAACUACUCUCUGUAUUCUAUCUUUAGGCCAGUGUUCUAUCCAAGAACACAAAUCUUCCAUGUAAGCCAAUUUCAGUAUUAAUAUUAACCUUUUGUGUGGAACUAAAAUAUGAAAUGCUUUUGCAAAAUCCAAAUAGAUCCAAUCCACUUGAAACCCCAAAUCUAUAUUUCUACUGACUUUUUCAUAGAACACAAAUAAGUUAGUUUGAUUUUCUUUUUUAGGCAUAUCCAGCCUCCCAAACUUUAGCAAAACUAGUGUGGGUCCUCUCCCUGGGGUCCAGUGGGGAUCUUCUCCCUUAGGUACGGGGGAGGGAUCUUCUCCCUGGGGUCCAGUUGGGUCUUCUCCAUGUGGUCUAGGGCGAGGGGGUCUUCUCCUUGGGGUCUGGUGGGGGAAUCUUCUACAUGGGAUCCGGGGGGAUCUUCUACAUGGGAUCUCCGUGAGAUCCAGGGUUGGAAGAGAUCUUCUCCUUGCGGUCCAGGGGGGGAUCUCCUCUCUGGUGCCCAGAGGGAAAUGGAUCUUCCAAUUUCUCUCUGCUCUCUUGCAAGCCCUCUGUAGUGAUGCUGGGGCUUCAGUGACAGCAUAUUCGGGCUCCUGGCAUCACUACAGAUGGCGCACAAGACAAGGGAGCAGAGAGGAACUGGAAAUACGUCAGUGCUCCCUCGCCACCUGCCUCCUCUCUUUCUCCCAUGGGGUCCAUGGGGUUCAUGGAGAAGAGAUCUUCUUUUGUAUCAGCCGAUUAAAAGAAUGGGUUUCAAAUAUUGAUCUUGCUGGUCUUUAGUCUGUUUUCAACCUAGAUUACAAUGCAGCUGUGUACUGAGUGAUACCACCGCUCUCCACACUGAAUCCCUCUAUAUACUGAGUGACACACACCGCCCUGCACACUGAAUCCCUCUAUAUACCGAGUGACACAUAUCGCUCUGCACAUUGAAUCCCUCUAUAUACUGAGUGACACACAGUUCUGCAUAGUGAAUCCCGCUAUAUAUGAUGUGUGAUGCAACACUCAAGUUGGAGACAAUUUAACAUUACUUAUUAGAACAUAAGUGCCACUUGUGAACAUGUUUUUGUACAUUUGUCAUAUUUAACAGUUUAUUUGGCACAUCUGGUUACCGUUGCUUUGUUUAUGAUGGUGUAUCUUUCUGUCCCUUGUAGUACUAAUAUAGGUGCUUUAUUGAUAGGGGUAGUAUUGUGGCGGGGUAAGGUCUUUACUGUGGCACGAGAAAGGCAGUAUUGGGAGUAGAUGUGAUUUAUUGUGGGAUAUAGGGACUGCAUUGUAGGAGUAUAGUGGGGUUACUGUGGGGUAGAGGGCUUUACUGUGGGGGAUAGGAGCAAUAGUGUGGAUUUAAAAAAUAACAAAACAAAACUAAAGUUUAAAUUAUUUCCCCCUUCCUCUUGCUUACCUUGGUGAGGGAGUGGAAAAGUUGCUCCCUGGUGGUACAGUGGGCUGAUUAUUUGAUUAUUUGGUCUGCACCCCGGCAGGUGCAGUAUGUGUGAAGGAUUCCCCAAGGCUGACGGUCAGUAAGGACUCAGAGCGUUACUGUGGUAACCCGCAACAAUGCACUGAUCCACUACAGGGAGCUAUUAACACGGUAGCUUUAUGAAUAUGCCCCACCUCCGAAAACACUAUCCAUCACACAGAAAAAGAAAGUUGUUUUGGCUCUGUAUAUUCUAAUCUGUAUCUCAUCUGUGCUUUCAUUAACAGUUGGAUUAAUCCACACAUGUGCCUUAGGCCCAUUGCAUUUAGUAGGAGCCUAUCUCUUCUCUAGGCCAGUUGCACACACUCUCUUUGCCUCAUGGUGGAUUCUCUGAACUGGCAGUCCCCACCUAUAUCCGUUCUUCCACUAGUGGAUUUAUCUGUGUAUCAGUAACCCCAAAUUUAUGUUUUGAAAUUGGCCUUUUCUAACACUAAGCUCCAAAUCAAUAAUCCAGACCUGACUUUGCCAAUCCCACAUAGUGAUCCCCUUUUCUGAUCCUAGGAGGUGAUGCGCACCAAUAAAUCUAUACCCCUUUCAACUUUGCAGGCGACUGAAAACUGUUAAAGUAGCUCUGUCACGUCUAAGUAACUUCUGUUCAGUACUCUUCCACAUCAUGUGUAUGAGUAUGGCUUUGAUGUAUCUCCUGCUAAAUUAAGUGCUUGAUGGAUGGACACCACAAGAAAGAUGGUGGUGCAUGUGAAAGAGAUGUACUCCCAGCCUGCAUGCCACAUUUUUACAAACACCUCCAAAAGUGACAAAGCCACAGUACAUUAUUUGUGAAAGUCACAUAUAGCAUACUUCAGUUAUUGAAGCUCUCCUUCCUUUCAACUCUGUGUGCAUUCAGGCAGAAAAAACAAUAGACGAUUAUUUUCUCCAUAUUUGGAAAGUCUAAAUUAUCUCCGAAUUACCGCAGGCUGUGAAGUUAGAACACGAACUGGGAUGAUGGAAUGGAAUGGAAUGCAAUGCAGUGGUAUUAUGUUAUUAAUAAUAAGGUUGAUGUUUCCAAGUUUAACCUAACCUCUGGGAAGCUAAUGAAUUCUAAUAAGUGGUAAUAGAUUCAGCUUGUCUAGCAAAAAUAUUUCCCUCGUCUUCCAAGCUGUGCUUGUGAAAAUUGUUAUUUAAAGACAUUAGCCCAGUCCCCAAACAUUCUUCAAGUUUCUGAAGGGCUUUAGGGGUUGAAUGUUUGAUGAUUUCUUUUGAAAUCUGUACUUUUCUAAAAUUAGCCAGAGAGUUCAAUUUCAUAAAUCCUCUAAGACAGCCUGGAGGGUUCCCUGUCUCACUCAAAGCAGAAGUGAGUGCUUCUCAUAGCACUUACUUACAAUGCUUCUGUAUUAGAAGCGUUGUCGGCGCUAUGAGAAGCAUCCCAUUGGCAUACCUUCCAAAAUUUCAAAUGGACACAUUCAUUUUUGGGGAGUGAGUGGGUGAGUGAGGGUUUGGCCAGGGACAGGAAUGAUCUCAGAAAUUUUUAGGAAUUAUAUAUAUAAUUGUAUAUAUUAUAUAUAGGGUCCACAGUUACUGUCUGUUGCUGAAAAUAGGAGCUAUACAAGUUUUUAAAGGUAAAAUAUUCCACUGUUUGUGCGCUUUCACCUUUUUUUUUCUGUUCACUAUAUCUUUCAUUUGGUGUAAUAAGAGACUAUACACCGAGGUGUUUUUAGGCUGCACCAGUUGUAGUAUUUUGUGUAUAGCGCCCUUUUCCUUUCUAUUGUGUAUUCCUUCACUUUUCCUAUUAGCUUCUAUAAUAGAUGCUACUAUGUAUAUGAACUUAAUUUAUUCAACACUUCAUUAUGGAUGGAACACAAUGUAUAUUCCACCAGAGACUCUUAUGUCUAUCAGUGAAGCGCAAGGUGCGUUCCAAAUAUGCCGGCCGUUCACUGAGAAUGUAAGCAACAGGAAGAACGUUGCAAGCUGUGUGGAACGCACGAUGCGUUCCAAAUGCUGAACAUAAACGUGACCAGAAAUUACGUGGUCGGGGGAAUAGGUGGAACGCAGGAUGUGUUGCACCAGAAGAAAAAAGACCGCGAACUUCGGAUCCAUUGAUAUAUAAAGGACUGAAAGGCACAAUAGCACCAUCCACACCAACUGAAGAAGCCACAACAGGCGAAACGCGUUUUGGUAUUAUACUGGACUUUAUUGGACAUUGCUUUAGAAACCACCAUUGAUUUUAUUUAUUGUUUUAUUGAAUAAAGAAAUUUUACUUUUACCUUAUUUGGAUUAUGUGCAAAUGACUCCUGGGAGAACACUGGAUCAGGUAUCCUGAGCAUCUACAAAGGUAUUUGGAUCACCCAUAUAGAUCCUAAGGCUAUCCACACAAGAGCCAGGUUGAGUAUAUGGCUCCACUCUUGUGAGUGCAUUCUGUUACUAAGCAAUAUAUACAUUAAUGUUUUAAGGAUAUCUGCACUAUUAUACACCCUGUUCCAAAUUAUUAUGCAAAUUAUAUUUUUCUCAUUUACCUAAAUAAUUGAUGUAAAUAACAGUCAGCAUAAUUCUAAUGUUAUCAACUAUUAAGAGUACAAUUCAAAUUUUAUUGGACAAACUUCCUAAUGAUAACAGUAUUUUUUUUUAAACAUAAAAAAACUUACAAUGCACUGUUCCAAAUUAUUACGCACAGUAAGUUUCAAAACACUUUAUAGGUUGUAAAGAACUGAAAAUUGUAAUUUGUUGUGUUUGCAGCAUAUUUACUGAAAUCAAAAGCUAUUUCAAUCAAACUAGGCCCUUAACAUCUGCAUCUUCUGUCCACCUCUGAUGCUCGCCUUCAAGAUUUCUCGAGGGCUGCACUGUUCCUAGGAAACUCGCUUCCCUCCUCCGUUAGAUGCUCACCCAGUCUCCACUCCUUCAAAAAAUCAUUAAAAACCCACUUCUUCAUAAAAGCGUAUCAAUUGAGCUGUUAAUAGCUCCCGACUGAUUCCUCCUCUGCAACUGUCAUUAAUACUAUCCUUACCUUUUUGUGUCAUUUUACCCCACUCCCUCUAGCAUGUAAGCUCAUUGAGCAGGGCCUUCAACCCCUCUGUUCCUGUGUAUCCAAUUUGUCUGGUUACAACUACAUGUCUGUUCGUCCACCCAUUGUAAAGUGCUGCAGAAUUUGAUGGCGCUAUAUAAAUAACGUAAUAAUAAUAAUAUUAAUAAACUUAUAACAACAUUUUAACUUUUUAAACAUUUUAACAGGUCACGUUACAUUUUAACAUAUGACCACUUAUUUGAUAACAGCUUCACUAGUCUUGCAUCCAUUGAACUUGUGAGUUUUUGGACAGUUUCUGCUUGAAUUUGUUUGCAAAAUGUCAAAGUAGCCUCCCAGAGCUGCUGUUUGGAUGUAAACUGCCUCUCACCCUCAUAGAUCUUUUGCUUGAGGAUGCUCCAAAGGUUUUCAAUAGGAUUGAGGUCAGGGGAGGAUGGAGGCCACACCAUGACUUUCUCUCCUUUUAUCCACAUAGCAGCCAUUGAUGCAGAGAUGAUUUUAUUACGGAAAGCAUAGUUCUUCCUUCUGUACCAGGGAAGAAAGUGGUCAGUCAGAAACUCCACAUACUUUGCAGAGGUCAUCUUUACACCUUCGGGGACCCUAAAGGGGCAGACCAGCUCUCUUCCCAUGAUUCCGACCCAAAACAUGACUCCACCACCGCCUUGCUAACAUUGCAAGCUUGUUGGAACAGGGUGGCUGUCCACCAACCAUCCACUAUUCCAUCCAUCUGGACCAUCCAGGGUUGCACGGCACUCAUCAGUGAACAGGACUGUUUAAAAAUUAGUCUUCAUGUAUUUUUCUGCCCAAUGCAGCCGUUUCUGCUUGUGAGCAUUGGUUAGUGGUGGCCGAAUAGAAGGUUUAUGCACAGUUGCAAGACUCUGGAGGACUCUUCACCUUGAUGUCUGUGGGACUCCAGAGGCACCAGCAGCUUCAAAUAUCUGUUUGCUGCUAAUUAAUGGUAUUUUAGCAGCUGUUCUCUUGAUCCGAUGCAUGGAUCUGGCAGAAAUCUUCCUCAAUGUGCCUUUAUCUGCACUAACCCGUCUGUGCUCUGAAUUAGUCACAAUAGUGCGAUGAUCACCCACGCUUAAGUUUUCGUGAAAUAUCUAAUGUUUUCAUACCUCAUCCAAGGCAUUGAACUAUUUCUUUUCGGCAGCAGAGAGAUCCUUUUUCUUCCCCAUAUUGCAUGAAAACGGUGCUCUGCUUAAUUAUGUGGAACACCCUCCUUUAGUAGUUUUUCCUUAAAUUGGGCUCACCUGGCAAUCUAAUUAUCACAGGUGUCCGAGAUUGUUUUCAGUGAUCAAAGAGCCCUGAGACACAAUGCCAUCCAAUGCCAGUUAAACUGAAAAGCAAAAUAUUUAAUCUUUGUGACAGUUAAAUAGAAUUUGCAUAAUAAUUUGGAACAGGGUGUAUACCUCUCUGUCUUUACAGCAAUAUCAAGAAGAGAGGAAAGUAUACCAUUGUUCUACCUAUUUUUGUUUGUAUGAUAUGUGAUUUUAGAUGUUGGGAUAGGGGAUACCACACAGGUGUUAGAGCUUCUUUUCACUACUAAAUAUACCAUUUGUGUUUGAUUUAUACAACGGUAUUUACUCACGAGUACUUAAGGAGCUAAGUGGGGAAAUAAGUGAACCUCUGUAUUUAAUUUUUCAAGAUUCUUUUGUUUCAGGUAUUGUACCAGAGGAUUGGAGGAAGGCAGAUGUUGUUCCUAUAUUUAAAAAGGGUUCAAAAUCCUUGCCUGGAAAUUAUAGACCUGUGAGCUUAACUUCUGUAAUUGGGAAUAUAUUUGAAGUGCUAUUAAGGGAUAAUAUUCAGGAAUUCAUUGGGAAGAACUUUGUUAUUAGCAAUAAUCAGCAUGUUUUUAUGAAACAUAGGUCAUGUCAAACUAACCUAAUUGCAUUCUAUGAAGAAGUAAGUAAAAGUAUAGGUCAGGGUGUUGCAAUGGAGGUAAUCUACUUGGAUUUUGCCAAGGCAUUUGAUACGGUUCCUCACAAUAGGUUAGUCUUCAAACGAAAAGAAAUUGGCAUAGAUGAAUAUUCUUGUUCUUGGGUAGAACAUUGGCUUAAGGAUAGAGUACAACGAGUUGUCAUUAAUGGUAAAUUUUCAGGCUGUACAAAAGUGGUAAGUGGUGUUCCUCAGGGUUCUGUUUUGGGACCGCUUCUAUUUAACAUAUUUAUAAAUAAUUUUGAAAUAGACAUUGAAAGCCAUGUAUCAGUGUUUGCAGAUGACACAAAACUUUGUAAAGUAAUAAAAUGUGAGCAGGAUAUUGCUUUGCUGCAGAGGGAUUUGGAUAGAUUGGGGGACUGGGCACUAAAAUGGCAGAUGAAAUUUAACAUAGAGAAAUGCAAAGUUAUGCACUUCGGGGCUAAGAAUGCACAAGCAAUUUACACCCUAAAUGGUAGUGAACUAGGGAUAACCACACUUGAGAAGGAUUUGGGAAUUGUUAUAGACAACAAAUUAGGCAGCAAUAUGCAAUGUCAAUCUGCAGUUGCUAAGGCCAGAAAGGUUUUGUCAUGUAUAAAUAGGGGCAUAAAUUCUCAGGAUGAAAAUAUAAUUUUGCCUCUUUAUAAAUCGCUGGUAAGACCACACCUUGAAUAUGCUGUGCAAUUUUGGGCACCUGUUCUAAAGAAAAUAUCAUGGCACUAGAAAAAGUGCAGAGACGAGCUACAAAAUUGAUAAAAGGAAUGGAGCAUUUUAGUUAUGAAGAAAGGUUAAAAAAAUUAAAUCUGUUUAGUUUGGAAAAACGGCGCCUGAGAUGGGAUAUGAUAACAUUAUACAAAUAUAUUCGGGGCCAGUACAAACCUUUAUCUGGAAAUCUAUCCAUAAACAUGGCUAUACAUAGGACACAAGGUCACACAUUUAAGCUGGAAGAAAGGAGAUUUCAUCAAAGAAAAGGUUGUUUUUUUUUACAGUAAGAGCAAUAAGGAUAUGGAAUUCUCUGCCUGAAGAGGUGGUUUUGUCAGAGUCAUUACAGAUGUUUAAACUGCAAUUGGAUAAAUACUUGCAAAAACAAAACAUACAAGGAUAUAAUUUCUAAUUAGUGGGGUAAUAGCUGCUUGAUCCAAGGAGACAUCUGACUGCUAUUUUGGGGUCAAGAAGGAUUUUUUUCCUAGUUUGUUGCAAAAUUGGAAGCGCUUCAGACUAGGUUUUUUUGCCUUCAUUUGGAUCAACAGCAAAAACAUAUGUAAGGAAGGCUGAACUUAAUGGACGCAAGUCUCUUUUCAGCUAUGUAACUGCAAUGUAAUUUGUAACAAGAUUAAAGUAUCUUUUUUCCACAGGCUGAUUUCUAAACAUAUUUGGUGUAGUUUAAAGAUACGUGGCAAGUGGUGUUCCUCACCAUAUGUGGAACCAGGAUAACAUUGAACCUUUUAUAAUAAAUAUUGGAGAAACCAUCAGGCUGCAGGGCUUUGCCAUGAGACAAUAAUUGCGUAUACGGUGACAUUUCUUGUACUUAAUAUGUUCUUUUUUAGGACUGGGCCGAGGGUGGGGAAAACCCAUUUAUCCAAGUAUCUAUUGAUGCCCUUGUUGGAUGGGUGAGGGAUGCUAGGGUUUUACUUCAGGUUAUACAUUGUGGUAUAGUAUUUAACAAACUUGUUACAUGUAUAUCGGGGGAUCAUAACCUUCUGUCCACUAUGUGAUACAAUAUAAGGGAUUCUUAGUUGAGAUUGUCUACCUUAAGCCAUAAUCCCAGACAUUUCCCAGCUCCAUUUCCCUGGACAUAGGCAUUCGCCUUCAUUCUCUUUAAGUAAAAUUCAGCUUUUUGUAAAUCCAUAUGAUAUAAUUUGGCAUUGGGUGUCUGCUAUUUGAACACUCACCAAAGAAGAGGAAGUCAGUUGAUUUUACCUGUCCAAUUCAUACAGUUGUUUGUGCCACUUCAGCAGCGAGAGUUCUUCUGUUUUUACAGAUAUAAGACUCACCUGAUCGGUAUUACCUUAGCCACAGAUUUGUGACCAAAGUGUGGGAGAGUCAAUGUGGUAUCAUUCAGUUUAACCCCUUAAGGACCAAACUUCUGGAAUAAAAGGGAAUCAUGACAUGUCACACAUGUCAUGUGUCCAUAAGUGGUUAAAGUAUUGGGAUAGCUCGCUUUCUAAUUCCUGGACAAAUAUCGGGUUGCUUUGAAGAGUCUUAUUUAGUCUCCAGGAACACCAACCUCUAUAGUCGUAUUGGUUACUCAAUGUCAAGGUCGCCAAAUUGUGUUCAGACCAAUCCAGGAAUUCCUGUACUAAAUUUAGGUGGGAGCUAUACAUUAAAAACCCAGCAAUUCCAUAAUAAGAAUUGUCAAUCUGUCAGUAGUAUGAGUAUUCUCUCUCUUGGGGAUGUAUGAUGCACCAGAUGACAAAAAGUCACACAUAAAGGUUUAUCGAGGGCUUAACAUUAUUGUUCAAAUAUUACAAACAUAGUGGUAUUUUUUUUUUUUUUUUUGUUAAAAGUUUUUAUUAUAGAAGUAUUUUUGUUUUUAACAACCAAUACAGAAACAGUUGAAGAGUAUUAAGUUUUGUUGUUGUUUUUUAGUUAUUCACUUGUUUUGCCUUUAAGUGUCCUGCUUCUCAUGCUGUGUAGAUAAUAUUCCCCAACAUGCACAUGCUCUCUUCUUGAUUGGCUACCCAAUUGCACAUAAACAUAACUGUUUAGUACAAUACUCACAAUUAAACCAUAUAUGCAUUCAAUGAUGCAUUUUUUUUUCAUUUUGGGUAAAACUAAAAACCACUUGCAAAAGCUGCAGUCCCCUUUGCAGGCCUUCUCCUUCUAACCCCACCCAGACUUUCUGUGUCUACCAAUCACUGAAUUCCCAAUGUGGCUCAAUGAGAAAUAUUUGCAAGGCAGCUGCUCUGAGCAAUUGCCUGCCUCUGGAGUUUAGCUCUGCUGAGCUAAGAAAACCAGGAAGUAAUAGAAUUGGUUGUUUAAUUGACAGUCAGGGGGUGUUUCAAGGUUAAUUUAUAAAAGUGUAAAUUUCUGCUGAAAUCUACACUUUUUUUUUUUUCAAUUGUAAAUUUUAUUUCCCGAAUUUGAAGAUUCGAGUUUUCAGAUAUUAACAAGAGGGUGGGGGUAGAAGGGUACAGAAUAAAGAAGAGGGUGGGGGGAGGGGAUCGGUACAUUCAAGGUAAUCGAUUUAUACAUGUCAAUAACAAAGUUAUACAAAUAGUAUAAGGCAAUACGAAUAGUACAAGGCAAUACAACUAGUAUAAGGUAACACAAAUAGUGUAAGGUAUUACAAAUAGUAUAAGGCAAUGUGGCAAUAUAACAUGUUAGUAGAGCAAUAGUGUUCCCACAUAUGUCCAGCUCUAAGAGAAGUCACCCUACAUCUCCGUUUUAUACCAAUUAAACUUGUUAUACCUUGGAAGUCUUAGGUUAUUAUCAUCUAUCAAGAGGUUUGGUGAGCCAGUUUUACGAAUGGCUUCCAGAUCUUAAUAAUCUGUGCAGUGAGCUCGUGGGAGGUGGAAGCUAAAAGCUCAAAUUUGUAAUAAAGAGUUAUCCUAUCAAGUAGGUCUUUUCGGGAAGGGCAACUGGUGGUUUUCCAGUUUUGGGCUAUGAGAUGUCGCGCCGCUAGAAUUAUUAAGGAUGCCAUCUUUUUGUCUGCUUUCUUCCAUUGUGUAGGGAAGAUCAGUAGGAGUGUUAGUGUCGGCGAUAGGAGUUCUUGAAGAUGGAGUAGUCGUUGCAGAAGUGAGUGAACCUGUGACCAGAGUGGUAAAAUCUCUUUACACUCCCACCAUACGUGCAUCAUGGUGCCUGUGUGUGACAAGCAUCUCCAGCAUGUUGAGUUUGUGUUGGGGUAUAUUUGGUGAAGCCUUUGGGGUGUGAGGUACCAUCUGUAUAACACUUUUUUAUGUGCUUCCACAUGUGAGAAACAAGAGGUGAGGCCUGAGAGAGCAGUGAGCGCCGAAAGCCAGUGUGAGUCCGUGAGUGUAGGUAUUCCCUCUUUUUCCCAUUUUUGUACAUAGGAGAAUGAGCGGGGGGUAUUAUAGUCAAGUGUGGUCCUAUAGCAUAGCGACAGGGCUUUGGGUUUUAGUGGAGAUGUAUGGCAUCUGGAAAAGAUCUGUCAUGUCUGUUAAUCUAUAUGGUUGGAUCUGGGGAUUCAAGGUUACGUGAGUGGAGAUGACACUUUUUACCUGUAGGUAUUGAAAGAUACAAGAGUUAGGUAUGUUAUAUUGUGUUUGCAGGGCUGGGAAUGGCUUGAUUCCUUUUUGUGUGCAUAUGUCUUGGAUAAGUUUCACUCCAUACUUGGUCCAGGUCUUUAAGGACAACCAAGGUGUCAGUCUGGUCAAAGCUUCAAUCGGGCCCUUAAGGCAGAAUUUCCCUUUUUCGGUUAUAGUAGCCAUUAGCCUGUCCCAGUAUUUAAGCAUCAAUGCAGAGGUGGGGUAUAGUGACAAUUUCGGUGGUCGAUGGAUCUUAGGGGACUACAUGGCGUGGAGUAGGGAGUGCGGUUUGGAUCUAUCGGAUUCCAUAUCAGCCCAUUGGAACGUGUGUUUCGGAGCGUGAUAUCGAAUAGCGGAGUCUAGAAUGGCAGCUUCAUAAUACGUGGUUAACUUGGGCACCCCUAAACCACCUCUAGAUUGGAGCUGCUGCAGUAUGGAUACAUGUAAACGCGGUUUAGUUUUGUUCCAAAUGAAUCUAGCAAUUAUAGUUUGGAUAUUCUUGAGAGUCUGUGGGGGUACUUGUAUCGGGAGCAUUCGAAAUACGUAGAGGAUUUUUGGUAACAGCACCAUUUUCACGGUGUUUAUCCGUCCUAACCAUGAUAAGGGUACAUGUUUCCAGUGAUUGCAUAGUGAUUUACAAGUCUGUGAAAUCAGCCCAUAGUUCAUUGACAACGUUCUAUGGGGGUGUAACGCCAGUUUUACUCCUAAAUAUGUAAUAGAGUCUUGUCUCCAGUCAAAUCGAAAGGAUUGUCGGAGCAGGUUGACUUGUGUGUUUGGUAUGUGGAGGGGUAGUGCUUGUGUCUUGGUGUUAUUAAGUUUAUAGUACGAUAUUUUACCAUAAUCGUGGAGGAGGGAGAGGAGGCGAGGAAUUGUAUACGUCGGAUUUCCCACUGUCAAUAAAAUGUCAUCUGCGAACAUUGAUAGUUUAAAAGUCGAGGAGCCUAUGUCUAUACCUGAUAUCAAAGGGUCGUUUCUAAUUUUAUGCGCUAAAGGUUCUAGGGCGAGGAUGAAUAAAAGAGGGGAAAGGGGGCAUCCUUGCCUGGUGCCAUUAGAGAGAGCGAAAGGACGGGAGGUGAAGCCCGAGCUAGACACUCGUGCGGUUGGUGAUUUAUAUAGUGCCAGAAUACCUCGGGUCAUUUCUUGUGGGAAACCAUAUUUGUUUAAUACUGAUACCAUAUAAGCCCAGUUAAGUCGAUCAAAGGCUUUUUCAGCGUCUAAGGCCAACAAUAUGCUUUCAGUUCUUUGGUCCGCAAUGUGAGAUAGAAUGUUUAGGAUUUUUCUGGUAUUGUCGGAUCCUUGCCUGCCUUUAACAAAGCCUGUCUGAUCGUUGUGUAUGAUGCGGGUUAAUAUCGGGCUUAUCCUGUUAGCUAACAAUUUGGCAUAUAUUUUAGUGUCGCAGUUUAGCAAAGAUAUAGGUCGGAAAUUGGAGCACUGAGUCGGUGGUUUCCCAGGUUUUGGUAAGGUCGAAAUGUGGGCUUGUAGCAUUGCUGCAGGCAUGGAGCCCGUUUGGAAACAUCGGGUGAAGAAUGAUUUCAUGUAUGGUACAAGGGUGUCCCGAAAUGUAUAAUAAUAUAGGUUUGUAAAGCCAUCUGGGCCUGGGGAUUUGUGCUUUGGUAGUUGGUCGAGGGUAUCAAUUAUUUCCUGGUCUGAGAAGGGUUGAAUUAGGGCAUGACAUUCAGCUGGGGUGAGGGAUGCCAAUUCAAUAUCCUGCAGAAAUUGGUCUAUAUCCGUUUGCUUAGGGGGGGGACUGUCUUGUGACUUUGCUAGGUUAUAUAGGCCGCUAUAAUAUUGGCUAAACUCGUCUACUAUUUCUUGAGGGUCUAUGAUUUUCUUGCCUUGGUUCGAAAUAAGGAAGGCGAUUUUCGACGAUUGGGAUCUUGCUUUAAGUUGCGCUGCCAGAGUUUUCCCUGCCCUGUUUCCGGUAUGGAAAAAUUUAUGUUUCAACUUCGUUAAGAGGUAGGUCGUUUUCUCCAUCUCUAUAUCUUUCAAGGUAGACUGUAGUUCACGUAUCCGUGUGGUGGUAGUGUGAGAUGGGCUUGUCUUGUUUGUGUGUGUGAGUGUGGCUAGUUCUUUAUGUGUAUCUACAUAGCGUUUGGUUCUCUUUUUGUUGUUGUAGCUAGCGUGUUUAAUGAACUGCCCUCUAAGGACGGCUUUGUGUGCUUGCCACAGAGUAUGUAUAUUCAUCCCUUCUGUAUCGUUUAAUACAAAAUAUGAAUGGAGUUCUUUUUUGAUUUGUGCUACCAGUUCCUCGUCUUUUAAGAGGUAGUCAUUGAGGCGCCACGUGCGAGUCCCAGAAAUGGGGUAUUGUGUUGCUAGGGAUAAUGUAAUCGGGGCGUGGUCCGACCAUGUAAUAAUGCCUACAGGGGCGGACUGAGAGCCUUUGGGGCCCCCGGGCAAAAUUGGAUCCCAGGCCCUUUGAAGGCCAAAUAUAUGUGCAUUAAAUAAAUGUUAAAUAUAACUCAUAAUACAGCAUUCCUUUGGAUGUGUAUAUUGUGAAGACCUGUGUAUCAAUGCACGUUUGUAUUUGAGUCUGUGUGAAUGCACUUGUGCAUGUCGGGAUGACUACAUGUGCUUUUUUGUAUAUAGUGUCUGUGUGAAUGCAUAUGUGACAGGUGACAGUGUGUGAGGGAGAAGGUGACAGGUGGAAGAGUGUGGGAGGUUGUGACAGGUGGCAGAGUGAGGGGGUACCUGGUGGCAGAGUGAGGGAGGGAGGGAGGGAGGGGUUGAGUGGUGGCAGAGUGAGGGGGAGACACAGUGAGUGGGGGUGACUAGUGACAUAGGGAGGGAGAGGGGGUGACUAGUGACAGAGUUAGGGAAUGGGUGACUAGUGGCAGAGUGAGGGAGGGAAAAAAUGACUAGUGGCAGAGUGAGGGAGGGAAGGGGUGACUGGUGACAGAGUGAGGGGAUGACUGGUGACAGAGUGAGGGAGUGACUAGUGACAGAGGGAGGGGGUGACUGUCACUAGUCACCCCAUCCCUCUCACUGUCACUAGUCACUCCCUCCCUAACUCUGUCACUGUGUCACCCGCUCCCUCACUCUGUCACUAGUCACUCCCUCCCUAACUCUAUCACCAGUCACCCCUUCCUUCCUUCACAGUGACAGAGUUAGGGAGGGAGUGACUAGUGACAGAGUGAGGGAGCGGGUGACACAGUGACAGAGUUAGGGAGGGAGUGACUAGUGACAGAGAGAUGGAUGGGGUGACUAGUGACAGUCACCACCUCCCUCACUCUGUCACUAGUCACCCCUCCCUUCCCUCACUCUGCCACUAGUCACCCCUUCCCUCACUCUAUCACCUGUCACCCCCUCACUCUGUCACUAGUCACCCCCUCACUCUGUCACUAGUCACCCCCUCACUCUAGUGACAGAGUGACUAGUGACAGAGAGAGGGAGGGUGUGACUAGUGACAGAGUGAGGGAGGGAAGGGGUGACUAGUGAGAGUGAGGGAGGUGGUGAUUAGUGACAGAGGGAGGAAUGGGGUGACUAUCACUGUCACCCCCUUCCUCACUCUGUCACUAGUCACCCCCUCUCUCACUCUGUCACCAGUCAUUCCCUCACUCUGUCACCAGUCACCCCUUCCUUCCUUCACAGUGACAGAGUGAGGGGAUGACUGGUGACAGAGUGAGGGAAGGGAUGAAUAGUGGCAGAGUGAGGGAAGGAAGAGAUGACUGGUGACAGAGUGAGGGAAUGACUGGUGACAGAGUGAGAGAGGGGGUGAAUAGUGACCGAGUGAGGGAGGGAGAGGGUGACUAGUGACAGAGUGAGGAAGGGGGUGACACAGUGAUAGUCACCCCAUUCCUCCCUCUGUCACUAAUCACCACCUCCCUCACUCUCACUAGUCACCCCUUCCCUCCCUCACUCUGUCACUAGUCACACCCUCCCUCUCUCUGUCACUAGUCACACCCUCCCUCUCUCUGUCACUAGAGUGAGGGGGUGACUAGUGACAGAGUGAAGGGGUGGCAGGUGAUAGAGUGAUGGGGUGACUAGUGACAGUUACCACCUCCUUCACUCUGUCACUUGUCACCCCCUCCAUCACUCUGUCAUUGUGUCAUCCCCUUCCUCACUCUGUCACUAGUCACCCACUCCCUCCCUCACUCUGUCACUAGUCACUCACUCUGUCACUAGUCAUCCCCUUCCUUACUGUCACUAGUGACCCACUCCCUCUGUCACUAGUGACCCACUCCCUCUGUCACUAGUCACACCCUCCCUCUCUCUGUCACUAGUCACACCCUCCCUUUCUCUGUCACUAGAGUGAGGGGGUGACUAGUGACAGAGGGAGGGGAUGACUGGUGACAGAGUGAGGGACAGAGGGGGUGACUAGUGAUAGAAGGAGGGAGGGAGUAGUGACAGAGGGAGGUGAUGACUAGUGACAGAGUAAGGGAGCUGGUGACUAGUGACAGUCACCACCUCCCUCACUCUGUCACUAGUCACGCCUUCCUUCCCUCACUCUGCCACUAGUCACCCCAUCACUCUAGUGACAGAGUGAGGGAGGGUGUGACUAGUGACAGUUAGGCAGGGAAGGGGUGACUAGUGACAGAGGGAGGGGUGACUAGGGACAGAGUGAGGUAGGCGGUGACUAGUGACAGUCACCACCUCCCUCACUCUAUCACUAGUCACCACCUCCCUCCGUCACUGUGUCACCCCCUACCUCACUCUGUCACCAGUCAUCCCCUUACUCUGUCACUAGUCACCCCUCCCUUCCCUCACUCUGCCACUAGUCACCCCUUCCCUCCCUCUGUCACUAGUCACCACCUCCCUCUCUCUGUCACUAGUCACACCCUCCCUCACUCUGUCACUAGAGUGAGGGGGUGACAGGUGACAGAGUGAGGGAAGGGGUGACUAGUGGCAGAGUGAGGGGAUGACUAGUGACAGAGUGAGGGAGGUGACGACUAGUGACAGUGGGGGGGUGACUAGGGACGGGGGGUGACUAGUGACAGAGGAGGGGGGUGACUAGUGACAGAGGAGGGGGGUGACUAGUGACAGUGAGGAGGGGGGGUGACUAGUGACAGUGAGGAGGGGUGACUAGUGACAGUGGGGGGGUGACUAGUGACAGUGAGGAGGGGUGACUAGUGACAGGGGGGGUGACUAGGGAGGGGGUGAUUAGAGCCUACCUGUGCUUACUCUGCUCUCCCUGGCUGCUGCUCCUUCCCCUCGCUGGGCUCUGUGUGAGAGGCGAGUACAGGAAGUGAUGUCACUUCCUGUCCCCGCCUCUCCCAUCACACAGAGCACCGCGGGACAGGGAGAAGGAGACCUGGCAGCGAGGGAGAGGAGGUAAAGCUGCCAGGUCUCCAUGGGGGGGACACUUACAGGGCGGUAGGUUGUGGGGCCCCAAGCUGCAUCAGGGGCCCCACAACCUAUCAAUUAAAUAGUUUUUUUUUUUUUUUUUUCGUUCCAGUUGGAGAGAUCUCUGAUCUGAUCUCUCCAGCUGGAGCAUGGCUGUGCUGCCGGGCCCCUGACUGCCUCGGGCCCUCGGUCCAUGACCGAUAUGCCCGAGUGGUCAGUCCGCCCCUGAAUGCCUAUGUCCGCUUUGACUAAUGUCGGAAUUAGAGUCGAGGGGAUAAGGAAGCGGUCUAUUCUGGAAUAUGUGUCAUGAACUUGGGAGUAAUGCGUAAAGUCCCUGUCUAGAGGAUGAAGGGUUCUCCAUGCGUCAUUAUAUUCGUGUGUACGUAGCGUUUUGUCUAGGAGGGAUAUGGAGCGCGUUCUUUGGUUCAUUGUUUGUCGCGAAAUUUUGGCGGAGGAAGUGGUGUCUAAAGUUUGGUCUAGAAUGAAAUUUGUGUCUCCCCCUAUAAUAACCUGCCCGAAUUGAUAAGCAGAUGCCAAAACUAAGAUGUGUUCAAUAAAGGUGUGGCAGUCGGUGUGUGGUCCGUAGAGAUUGAUUAAGGUAUAUUGUGCGUUAUUAAUAAUGCAUUGAAGUAGGAGGUACCGGCCUUUUUUGUCGCCUAUUUUUUUCACUAGUUGGAAUGUCACGUCUUUACUAACUAGGAUAGAGACGCCUCGUUUUUUUGUCUUGUAUGUGCUGUGGUAGUUUGUGGGGAAGUGUCUGGAGAAGAAUUUGGGUUGGUUGGAUGUUUGAAAAUGGGUUUCCUGAUAAAAUGCUAUAUGAGCUUUCUGUUUCUUUGCUUCUAAAAGGGCCAUACGUCUUUUGUGUGGUGUGUUCAACCCUUUGGCGUUUAUAGAUAGAAUGUUAAGUGUCAUGGUGUGUUGAUGUGGGAUCCUAGAGUGAGUUGCUGGACUAUCGUGAAUGGUGGGAGAGAGGAGAUGGUAGGUGGCUGGUCCUGGGGUUUGGGUAUCGUAGCAUUAUCCAACCAAUACGUAACUCGCUGGAUCUCUAGAGGGCAUGAGUGGGAUGACCUGUGCCAUGUGGAAGAAUCCUUGAAAUUUUUGUUGUGGUGGUACGCGAUCCCCUUGCGGGGAGGUAAGGACGGGGGGUAAGGGAAGUAACUGGGAAAAUCAAACCAACUAUGUACAUUAAAAAGGUCUCUGCUGUGAGACCUGAUACUACCGGUGUUAUUGGGCAUUGAAGCCCUUAUGGGGGUUGGAGGAUCCCCAUAUGCGGUGUGAGAGAACAUUCCCUAUAGAGAAAUCAAGAUAUCUCCCUAGUUUGCGUGUGUCUUAACGGCAGUGUGGCAGUGUGGCAAAACUAGCAGUCUAUAGCGGGCUAUAGCCCAAACCUUCGGUUUACCUUUGCCUCUAGGUCCUGAAACAGCAUUUCAGUCAGUGUCAGAGUGUAACCAGGGGCGGCUACAUAUCAUACAUGUGCAAAAUUAUACUUUGUAUCUGGUAUGUUAUAUACAGUAGCAAGUGCUUAUGGUGAGAAACAGGUCACCAACCAAACGAGAUGUUAUGGGACAUCAAGUGGCAGUAGAAAGAGAUAAAAGUAUAUACAAAAAAAAUAUUGAAAAUAUAUACAAGAAAAAAUAUAGAAAUGCACGGUAAAACUUGGUGUGGGCGUAACAGUAUUAGCAUCGUCAUGUUGUCCUGUGACAAGAGCCUGUCUAGUGUGAAAGGCUCGGGAUGAGACUACGUGUAGUAUUAGGGCUAUGAGGUGCAUGAGCUCCGCUAGGCCUCUUACAUAUCUAGCGACAUUAUGGUUUUGCCCUGGGUAUGUGAUAGUCUCAGGGUUCUAGAGGGUCGUUAGGCAAAAGGGUGCGGUGUCCCCCUCACGUGGGAUAUCUAUGUUUGGGGAUAUCGCUCGAUUCAUUCCCUUUUUAGGUGCCAUGCUUGGGUGUACGGCUAGGGAGGGGCUCUUGUAAAAGAGUGUCGCAGGGGACCUAGGUCCUUGGGCCUAAAACCUGUGACCCUCCCACUACUAAUACCACAAAGCUCGAGGAGAACUAAACAUAUAUAACACAGUAAUUAGGUAUUACCAGUCCAUAGCAACUUUUACAGCAUAUAUCGUGAGAGUUAGUCCAUUGGGCACGGGUUUGCAUAGGCUGAUAUAGCGUGGUUCACUUAUCUGUGCGUCGAGUUUCCCAAUCUUGGGUGGUCUUUAAUGGUGACCUGGGUACAGAUUUUGCAGCCGUGUCGUCUGUGGGGUUUGUGUUGACAGGAAUAUUCCAGUCGGCCAGUGCUUUCUUCCCUUCUGCCAGGGUCACGAUGUGUCUUUCAUUACCGUUCCGUUUGACGAUGAGGCGUGUUGGGAAGCCCCACUUGUAGGGGAUCUCUGCCGCUCUUAAAGCGCUUGUGAUCGGUGCGAGGAUUCUUCUGGCUUGUAACGUGUGGGCUGAGAGAUCUGUAAACAAUAGAAUCUUGUUAUAUUCUUCAGGUAGGCUAGGCCGUUUUCUAGCGGCCGACAUUAUGGCCUCUUUAGUGGUGUAGUAAUGCACCCGUGUGAUGGUGUCUCUGGGAGCUGUCGGUGGUAGGUGCUGAGGCCUAGGUAGCCUAUGGAUCCUGUCCAAUAGUAACGCGGACUCUGUGAGAUCUGGGGCCAGUAAGUGGAAAAUCCGGCGCGCGUAGGCUCCUAGUUCGUGUGGGCCCACACUUUCUGGAAUGCCUCUAAUGCGGACAUUGUUCCUUCUGUCUCUGUCUUCAUGGUCGGCAAGUUUUGUAAGUAUCAUGUUGAUUUUAGUCUCCAUGGAGUCGAAGGCCGUCACCACAUUAUUAUGUGCUGUGAUGAUUUCUUCAGUUUUAUUUUCUAAGUAGUCUGUGCGGUCACCCAGUGCUUUAACGUCCGCUCUGAUUUCUUUUGAUAGCUGGGCGAAGUCCGCUCGUAGGGACGUUUGAAGUCCAUUGAGCAUCUUUUGAAUCGCUGAUUCCGUGGCCGGGAGGUCUCUGUGGGAGACCGACGUAAUAUCGCUCCGUCCGGAGCUCGAGGCUGGUGAUGUAGGCCUCUCGGCGCCAUCUUGUGAGCGACGGGGAGAGGAGGCCAUGGCCGAGAUUUGUAGGUUGGGGGCCUCUUUCGCCUUUGCUCUUUUCGGGAGGCGCUGUGCCAUGGUGGCUGGAAUGCUGGUAGCUUCUUAGCUUGUGGAGAAGGGGGUGAUCUCUCUUUGGAUGCUUGUCAAAUCGCUGCUUUGCGGGGAUCGCUCACGGAGCUGAACCUUCACACGUCUGUUCUCAUGAACGGUCAGGCCACGCCCCCCAAACAUAGUGGUAUUUUUAACUAUGGAUGAAUUAAAGGUAGGAUCAACCGUAUACUUAACGACAACUCAGCAACGGCUAGUCCCUGUUUAAAAUAAAGUAUAGCAUGUUAGUUCCUUUUGGAACUGUGUCCCCUGUGUGAAUUUGUUCAGGGACAAGUAACAAAGUCUUCUGACCUGUUGGCUUGCUGCUUGGUCCCUGUAGUCCAGGACAGGUCAAAAAGAGGUAGGCCUGAGAGCUGCAAGUGCCUUUUAUAAAGACAGCAACUGAUCACACUGCAUGCAGAGCUGUUGAUAAGUUGCUGUUAGGGGAACAGAAGAAGCACAGGCAGAGGGGACAAUACCUGUCUAAAAGAAUAGAGCUGCAGACUGAUCGGGUGGAAUAGUUCCUGAGAGACCCCAGUCAAGCUUUCGUGACUGGGUCUGAAGUGCUCCGGAGUUCCCUGUGAGAAUGAGGAUGUAAACUUGACGGAGGUAUUCAGUCAUUGUACGGGAGCUCUGUCACACAUGGAGCUAUAUGUGGGACGGCUUCCUAGUUAUUGGUAAACAUCCAAACAGCACCGGGACCCCUGCACACCUUCUGGAACAGAGAUGGACCACAGAAGCGGAUCUGCCUGGCCAGCCAUGACCAAGCAGGGGAAGAGUUAGCAAAAAUAGAUUAAUGCAUGUGGUGUAGCCAGGAGAGAGCUAUGGAGUCCCUUUAUCUUAAGACCUCAUCCUACCCCAGAGGAUAUUGAGUGGCUGGAUUGCUGGAUUCAUGAUAAAAUAUCAUGAUCUAAUAUUUCUGGAGGAACGUUAUGGAUGCUGGGCUGGUUUUGACCAGCUCAAUGAGUUUGGCUCGCAGUGCCACUUUAGAUUUCUUGCUGGUGGGUCUCCCUCACAUUUCCAGGAGGCCUCAAGGGUCGUCCAAUUCAGCCACUCAUAGCACUGCUCCAUGCGAUGCUAACUCCACUCCAGGAAAAGGGACCAUCCAACUGCUGCCACCAGGAAGGUUGUCCCUUGCUUUGUGUUAGAAGGUCCAGAGUAAUUAGGCUCUGUUGCAGAGUGUGUAGCUGUCUCACCCAAACACUAAACGAGACUUAGUAAAGGGUAAAUAAGAAAUUUUUUAUUGGCAUUCACUUCACACUGUUAUGCCUGGGAUAUGGAAUUUUGACACGGUACCUUGGUGUCUGUGUCUGAGCUAUAAUUUAAUUAGUGGCCAAACAGCUUGGCACCGGGUUAACAAAAUUUGGUUACAAAACAUGGUUCCCAUACCCACAUCCCCACAACAGUGCCAUCCCCGGAAAGGUCUCUCUGGAGCACUCAUUAGGUCCAAAAAGAGCCCAGUCAGAUGUGGCUAGCCCGAAUUAGAUGGAAGUCCAAAGUUUCAGUGGGAUGCGGCUAGCCUCUGAUCCGGCGAAGAGUUCCAGAGUUUGGAAGAGAUCCCGGGCACCUAAAAAGACAGCACUUUCUGUGGGUACAUGAAGCUCUCCAAAGUCCUUGGUAUCUUUCAGUGCCCCGCCACUCCCUCUGUUAACUCUCCAAAAAGUGCCAUGAUUGCUGAUUCUGGGACUGAGAGCGCUCUUGUAGAAGUUUCAAGGUUGCUUUUGGUCAGAUGCGCUGUGCCUCAGCGAUCCCCUGGCCAGUGCAGUAAGACACAGAAGAGCAGCUAAGAAAAGACACUGGGCUGGUCAUGGGCUGGAAGGUCAGUUCGUAGUGAAAAUAGCCUUUUAAGAGAGGAAUGGUGGUUGGGGAGACAUGUACCUGGCUUAGGUGACCAGAUGGUCACAAUCAAGUUGUUUAGAAGCAGGCUUUUCAGGAAACUGCAAGACCCUCAAUGUGCCCUAUGCAGUUGGCUGGAUGGUGAGCACUGUGCUGUGCGUUCCCCUCCUGACAGUCAAACGGAUCCUCAGGCUGGUGUGUCCUAAGGCGGCCACCUGUUCCGCCUUAUGGUAGCACCGGCCUUAUAUCCUUCUAAUAUGGGUAAAACCUAAAAAUGAAUUCGACAGAGGAAAUCGGGAGGUGUGUCCAUCUCAGAAUGUUCUGUACAGUUACUGCAGGAGCUGGUUAAGGACAAACUGUACAUUGUGCACACCUAGCCUAAAGGUCAUUGCCAGCAGACACCAGAACAUCUUCUGUAAGAACACACAACAACCUAUUUGCAUGAACGAAUGCUGGCGCAUGCGAAUUCGCACAGGCAGACAAACGCCCGCACUUAAAUAUACUGCAAUCAGUAUGGUAAAAACGUACCUCCUAUUUUGGCAAAAAACCUCUCCAUGUCCCAGAGGACCCCUAGAACACCUGUGAAGAGCAAAGGCUGCUAAAAACAUUGCGAAAGGGUCCCAAAGUCCCAGGUGACAAGGGAUAGAUCCAAAGAAAACCUAAAAGAAAUUAAAGAAAACAGAUGGAUAAUCCUGCUGGGCAUACUUUCUUCUAUAAGCAUGCCCCUUUUUUAAAAUCCUUCAUAGGUGCUUGCCAGCUAACCCUUGGGUCACUGCAGCAAAAUGGCCACGGCAUAAUCUUGCUAACCCCAAGGUCACUGCAUGUAACCCAAAGGGGUUUCUAAAGGAGCCAUACCUAAAGAAUUGCUGCAAGGAAAUAUACCUAUUCUUAAGACAGGUAAAAAUCCAGAAGAAAUCACCAGCUACCGACCAAUCUCUGUUCUAAAUUCAGAUGUAAAAAUAUAUGCAGCAGAGAGAUUAAAAUAGUAUUAGAUACAGUGAUUCAUAAUUACCUGGUAGGAUUUGUCCCAGGAAGAUCUCCAACUGGACAUAUGAGAUCACUUAUAAAUAUAAACAAUCGAUCCCGAUUAAAUGGUGUGCCCCAGAUGACUCUGUCAUUGGAUGCUGAAAAUGCAUUCGACAUUGUCAGCGGGGGCUAUAUGGCGGAAUCGUUGAAAGCAUAUGGAUUAAGGGGGAGAAUAUUUGAAGCAAUAAUGGCACUAUAAACCAAACCGAGAGGUAAGGUAAUAGGAUCUGGUAUCGUAUCACCAUGGUUUUAUUUAACGAAUGACACACGACAGGGGUGUCCUUUAUCACCCUUGCUGUAUGUCCUCAACCUGGAACUUUUAGCCAGGAUAAUUAGAACCCAUCCUAAAAUUCAGGGAUUUAUUAAAAUAAAUACACAGAUUUUGACUGUAGAAGUGUCAGGAUUACUGUUUGAUCCAGCACGUAGAACUGUACAGCACGGAUGACAAAUAAGUAACGUAUUACCGGUCCUUAGAAUGGCCGGAUUUAACGUACAAAGAAUAGUCAAAAAUACUAGCCGAGGUCAGGGAACACAGAAAGGGACACAGCGAUGAGGAAAGCCAGGAGUCAGGAUACCAGAAUAUAGAGAAGUCAAUAAACAAAGCCAAAGUCAAAAACCAGGUAGAAAACUAUAAACAGGAACGCGCUCUCAGACAACCACAAGGGAAACCACGACAGGGCACUGAGCAGGCUGAGAACUGGGCCUAAAUACCCCUCCUUUAGUUCUGAUAGGCUGUAACCGGCCUUUGACCCCAAAGUCAGUUACCAGGUUUCAUUUGCAUAAUUGCUGCUCAGCAUUAACCCUUCUGUGGAUUAGGUUGCUGCUCGGCACAACUUUUCCUGUGUGGACAGUAAAUGUCAUUAACCACUUUUCUAUAAGCGGAUGAAUACAUGAGACCAGGUUUCAUUUGCACAAUUACUGCUCAGCAUUAAACCUUCUGUGGAUUAGGUUGCUGCUCGGCACAACUUUUCCUGUGUGGACAGUAAAUGUCAUUAACCACAUUUCUAUAAGCGGAUGAAUACGUGACAUUACCCCCCACCUGAAGAACGCCCACCGGGCGGACAGGACCAGGCUUGAGAGGAAAUUUAGCGUGAAAAGCGCAGAUCUUACGGCCCGCAUGCAGGUCAGGAGCCGAAACCCAAGAACGAUCAGCAGGACCGUAACCUUUCCAAACAACCAAGUACUGUAAAGUGCCCCGAGAAAACCUAGAAUCCACGAUAGAAGAUACCUCAUACUCUUCCUGACCACCCACCACCACCGGAGGGGGAGGAACACAAGAAACAGUAUAUCUAUUGCAGACAAGAGGUUUGAGUAAGGACACAUGAAAAGUGUUGGGAAUCCCUAAAGAUGCAGGAAGAGCCAGAGAUUAAGACACUGGAUUGAUCCUACGAAGCACUCUAUAGGGACCAAGGAAUCUGGGGGCAAACUUCAUGCUAGGGACCUUAAGCUUGAUGUUGCGAGAUGACAACCAAACCCGGUCCCCCACUUGGUACACCGGGUUGGCACUCCUACGCUUAUCAGCAAAAUGUUUGAAGCGUUCAGCAGCAGCCCCUAGAGCAGUUUGAACCUUAACCCAGGUAUCCCGAAUGGAGGCCAGACGCUCAUCCAGAGCAGGAAUGGCAGUAUCAGAAAAUACCGCAGGGAGAACCGUAGGAUGCCUACCAUUAUUGACAAAAAAUGGACUGUGCCCAGAGGAGUCAUGAACAGCAUUGUUUCUAGCGAACUCGGCCCACGGGAGUAGUUCGGACCAAUUGUCUUGUGUGCUAUUAAUAAAACAACGCAAAUAAACUUCUAAUGACUGGUUAGCCCUCUCAGCUGUACCAUUGGUCUGUGGAUGGUAGGAGGAGGAGAAGGAGAGAUCAAUCCCCAAUUGUUUACUGAACGCCCUCCAGAACCUGGACACAAACUGAGAGCCCCUAUCAGACACAAUAUUGUGGGGGAUGCCAUGCAAACGGACAAUUUCACGUAUGAAAAUUAGGACCAAAUCUUGCGAAGAUGGCAACUUCUUGAGAGGAAUGAAGUGAGCCAUCUUAGAAAAUCGGUCUACAACCAUGAGAAUAGUAGUGAACCCAGCAGAGCUAGGAAGCUCAACAAUAAAGUCCAUGGAUAAGUGGGACCAUGGAAUCUCAGGAACAGGAAGAGGCUGCAACAGGCCACAAGGAAGUGCAUGAGUCACCUUAGAAACUGCACACACAGAGCAUGCCUGCACAUACUCCUUUACAUCUUUCCUGAGUGAAUCCCACCAAAAUGAUCUAGUGAUCGCGGCAGUGGACUUAUUGAUGCCCGGGUGUCCAGCAGUUAUAUUGUCAUGGAACACUUUCAUGAUAUUAACCCUUUCACAUAGGGGAACGAACAGUUUAUCACACGGUUUACCACUGGGCGCCUGAGGCUGGGCCUCCAGUAUGGUGCCAAGCAGUGGAGAAGACAGUGAGAGGACAGUAGUGGCAAUAAUACACUCUGGUGGAAUAAUAGGAGAUGUCACCUGUUCCGGAGCUGACUCAUUAUCAAAUUGCCUGGACAAGGCAUCAGCCUUGGUAUUUUUAGAACCAGGUCUAUAAGUAAUGAGAAAGUUAAAACGUGAAAGGAAUAGUGACCAUCUAGCCUGUCUGGAAGACAAACGUUUGGCAUCCCCUAUAUAUGCCAGAUUUUUGUGGUCGGUUAUGAUCAACAGGGGGUCCUUGGAACCCUCCAAAAGAUGUCGCCACUCCUUGAGGGCAAGAAUAAUGGCCAACAGUUCUCUAUUGCCAAUAUCAUAGUUGCGCUCAGCAGGAGACAUCUUUCUGGAGAAGUAGCCACAAGGAUGCAAUGGUGUUCCCUGGCUUUCUCUCUGAGAGAGAACAGCCCCUACCCCUGUCUCGGAUGCAUCAACCUCCAAUAUAAAAGGUUUACUGGUGUCAGGAUGUUUUAGUAUGUCCGCAGAGGCAAAUCUUUGUUUAAGAGUCUCAAAAGCAUUCACAGCCUCUUUGGACCAUACCGUGCUACUAACCCCUUUGCGAGUCAUAUUUGUGAUUGGGGCUAUUACAGAAGAAAAUCCCUUGAUGAAUCUCCUGUAAUAGUUGGCGAAACCAAUAAACCUUUGAAUGGCUUUUAAACCAGAGGGUAAUGGCCAGUGUAGUACAGCCUCUAGUUUUUUAGGAUCCAUUUGAAAUCCCGAUGCAGAGAUGUUGUAACCCAAAAAGUGGACUUCAGGCUGGUCAAAUAUGCACUUUUCUAAUUUGCAAUAAAGUUUAUUUUUCAACAACGUCUGCAGAACCUGUUUCACAUGGGAGUGGUGAGUCUGAAGAUCAGGGGAAUACACCAAAAUAUCGUCCAAAUAAACCAAGACAAAUGAGUAAAUGAAUUCCCUGAGUACAUCAUUUAUAAAGUCUUGGAAUACGGCCGGGGCGUUGCAUAACCCAAAUGGCAUUACCAGAUAUUCAUAGUGUCCACUACGGGUAUUAAAUGCCGUCUUCCACUCAUGAUUCUCUUUAAUUCUAACCAAAUUGUAAGCGCUCCUAAGGUCAAGCUUAGUAAAUACUUUAGCUCCCUGAAGUCUAUCGAACAAUUCGGAAAUGAGUGGGAUAGGGUAUGCAUUUUUUACAGUGAUUUUAUUAAGUGCCCUGUAGUCUAUGCAAGGGCGUAACUCACCACCCUUUUUCUCAACAAAAAAGAAUCCUGCACCAGCUGGUGAGGAUGACUUUCUUAUGUGCCCUUUGCUCAAGGAUUCUUUGAUGUAUUCCUCCAUUAUUUUACUCUCCUGGGGAGAUAAGGCAUAAACUGCCCCCUUAGGUGGCAUAGCGCCUGGAAACAGGUUAAUGGCACAGUCAUAUGCUCUGUGGGGAGGCAAUACAUCAGAUUGAGCCUUGUUAAACACCUCCUGAAGUUCUCGGUAUUGUAUGGGAACUCCAGGAGUUUGGGGAGUGGUAGUGGGAAGGUCAAUAGUAUCCAAUCUCUUUAGUACUGGUUUUAUACAUCUCCCCAUACACUCUUUACCCCAUUCUAAUAUCUCCCCAUUAGCCCAGUCAAUAUAGGGAUUGUGCUUACUCAGCCACGGAAACCCUAAUAUGAUAGGACAUGAUGGAGAAGUAAUAACCUGAAACGUCAUCUCCUCCCUAUGGGAGGCCCCAAUGGAGAUCGUAAUAGGGACAGUUUCGUGGGUUAUAAGCGGUUGUGUGAGUGGUCUACCAUCAAUAGCCUCUACAGCUAGCGGCGUAGGUCUCUCCCUGACCGGUAUCUCAUUACCCCUAAUAAACUGGACAUCAAUAAAAUUUCCAGCAGCACCUGAGUCCAUUAGGGCACUGCAAGAAAACUUCUUGUUAUCAAGGGAAAUAGAUACCUCAAGGAGGAAUCUACUUUUGUUUUUGUUAGAGGACAACUCCAUCACACCUAAGAUCUGUCCCCUUAAGGUUCUUAGGUGCGGAAGUUUUCCGGACGCACUGGACAAUUAGUUAUCAUAUGUCCCUUUCUACCGCAAUAUAGGCAUAACCCCUCCCUUCUCCUAUACUGUUUUUCGGCCUCUGACAGUCUAGUGACCCCCAACUGCAUAGGUUCGGGUUCGGACUGUACAGGGAGGUUAGACAAAACAGGUUUAGAGAAUUGAGGUGCUAGGGACAUAGCCGUACGUCUGGUCUUGCUUCUGGUGACUUCUCUGAGUCUUAACCUAUUAUCAAUAUGCAUGACAAACGUAAUAAAUUCGUUAAGACUCUUAGGUAAUUCUUUAGCGGCUAUCUCAUCUAGUAUAGUCUCUGAGAGACCCUUUUUGAAUGCUGAGAUUAACCCAUUGUUAGUCCAGUCUACCUCGGAAGCUAAGGUACGGAAUUCAAUAGCAUAAUCCGAGAUAGACCGGUUACCUUGUCUGAUGUGCAUUAGGGCAGUGGAGGCGUCAUCCUCUCUACCCAAUGGCUCAAACGUGAGCUUGAAUUCGGCAAGGAAUUCCUGGUAAUUAUGAGCUAUGCUCCGAUUACUCUCCCACAACGGAUUAGCCCAGGCAAGGGCCUUGCCCUUUAAUUGAUUCAUUAGAUAACCAAUUCUUGCUCUGUCCAUGGGGAAUGACCCUGGUGAGGCCUCAAAAUGGUACUCCACCUGAUUAAGAAAACCCCUGCAUUCCUGGAUAUUGCCAUCAAACUGUAGGGAUGGUGAUAAGGAGAUGCUAGGAGUCAUAUUAACAGUGGGUGGAGGUACACAGGGUAGAGGUGCUAUAGGAGGAGACACUGCAGGCUGCAGAUGCUCCGUUCUAGCGAGAAGCGUACUUAAAGCCUGAGUGAAUUGAUCCAUGCGGUGAUCAUUCUCCUCUAAUUUCCUCUCGCAAGCAGCUAUGUGCUGACACAGUUCUACAGGAUCUAUGGCCAUGUCGUAAUGUCAGGAUUACUGUUUGAUCCAGCACGUAGAACUGUACAGCACGGAUGACAAAUAAGUAACGUAUUACCGGUCCUUAGAAUGGCCGGAUUUAACGUACAAAGAAUAGUCAAAAAUACUAGCCGAGGUCAGGGAACACAGAAAGGGACACAGCGAUGAGGAAAGCCAGGAGUCAGGAUACCAGAAUAUAGAGAAGUCAAUAAACAAAGCCAAAGUCAAAAACCAGGUAGAAAACUAUAAACAGGAACACGCUCUCAGACAACCACAAGGGAAACCACGACAGGGCACUGAGCAGGCUGAGAACUGGGCCUAAAUACCCCUCCUUUUUCUGAUAGGCUGUAACCGGCCUUUGACCCCAAAGUCAGUUACCAGGUUUCAUUUGCAUAAUUGCUGCUCAGCAUUAACCCUUCUGUGGAUUAGGUUGCUGCUCGGCACAACUUUUCCUGUGUGGACAGUAAAUGUCAUUAACCACUUUUCUAUAAGCGGAUGAAUACUUGAGACCAGGUUUCAUUUGCACAAUUACUGCUCAGCAUUAAACCUUCUGUGGAUUAGGUUGCUGCUCGGCACAACUUUUCCUGUGUGGACAGUAAAUGUCAUUAACCACAUUUCUAUAAGCGGAUGAAUACGUGACAAGAAGAUCUUUGUAAAUCAAUAGAUGGGAUUAUGGAUUCUCUUUAUUAUAUAACUACAAAUUAAAUGAAACAAAAUCUAUAGCGAUCCCUUAAAAUAUGUCUAUAAUUCAAGUUCAUUAUCUGAAAGAUAAACAUAAUUUUAAAUGGGAAAAUAAUCAGUUUACAUAUUUAGGUAUUAAAAUAUUAACUAAACCUAGUGAAUGGAUGAAAAUAAAUCUAUUCCCUCUGAUAAAGGAUGUGAAUAGGUCAUUUAAUAAUGUAAAAUGUUACAAAUCUCCUGUUGGGGGAAAAUAAAUACCGUGAAGGCAUAUAUGCUCACCAAGUUUACGUACAUAUUUAGAAUGGUUCCUUUAAAAACUCCAACUCCAUGGCUAAAUAUGAUUCAGACCGCAUUUUCUAGAUUUUUUUUGGCUGGCAAGGGACCCAGACUAAAUUUACAACUACUUGCUAAAAAAAAAACAAAAAAAAAAAACAUAUAGGAGGGCUGGGAGUACCAUUUAUUCAAGACUAUGCAGAUGCGGCUCUAUUAGCACAUGCGGUGACAUAAAAAAUAAAUAGAGCUUCAUCUGAGAGUUGGUAUCUAAUAGAGAUGAAAGAUUUUAAACCUCAAGACUUGUUGACCCAAUGACAGAAAUGUGGAAAUCACAGAAUUCUUUGAAAUCUUCAAAUAUAAUAGAAGGGAAUAUAGCUUUAAACCAUAUUCUGUUAAAUUGGUAUACAUUUAAAAAUAAAGAUAACAUAAAAGACAAAGUUUUACCAUGUCCACCUUUAAAAAUUGGCUUCAUGGAAAAUAUAGAUCCUUAACCAUGGAUAAAUAAAGGAAGCAUAGAAAUUCAACAUUUAAUAUAGGGAAAUACAAUAAAAUCCUUCUUUGCACUUCAAACGGAAUUUAAUCUUGGUGACCAGGAAAUAUUUAAAUAUUGUUUAUUAAUGAUAAUUCUCAAAUAGUCUACAUUUUUAACAAAAUGUUUUAAAAAAAUAAUGAUUGCAAACAAUUAAUAACAAAAUAUCUUGAAAUUAUCAAGAUAUGUAAAAAAGAUAUCCUAAUUACUGCUAUAAUAAAAUGGGUAGACGAGUUACAGAUCCAGAUUAAUGAAGAAGAAUGGAAUAAGGCAUUAAAUCUAUGUUAUAGAUCGGUACACUGUCUAAAUCUCAAUGAAAUACAUGUAAUUGUAAACAGACAAGUUUGACACACAGAGACAGAGGGGUUGAGAGCCCUGCUCAAUUAGCUUACAUGCUAGAGGGCGUGGGGUAAAGUGACACAAAAGGUAAGGGAAGUAUUAGGGAAGUAGAUUGGUAGAAUAGUAUUCAAUAAAGACUUAGUGUGGGGUUUUUUCGAGCCAUUAAUAGUUUAAUUAAUAUGCUGAUGUGAAAAAGUGAGUUUUUAAUGAUUUUUUGAAGGAAUAGAGACUGGGUGAGCAUCUAAUGUAAAAGGGAAGGGAGUUCCACAGGAGCGGAGGAGUCAAAGAGAACACCUAGGCAAUGAGCCUGCGUGGUGGAGCUGAUGGUGGAGCACUAUAAACGUGAAGGGAGACAGAAAUGGGAGUAGCAACACUUGAGGGAGGAAAGACCAGAAGUUCUGUUUUGGACAAGUUGAGUUUAAAGAAGUGGGCAGCCAUCCAGUUAGAAAUAGCAGAGAGGCAGUCAGAGACACUAGUCAAGAGGGGCUGGGAGAGAUCAGGGGAGGACAGGAAGAUUUGCGUGUUAUCUGCAUAGAAGUGAUAUUGGAAGCCAAAGGAUGUGAUGAGUUUACCAUGGGAGGCAGUAUAGAUUGAGAAUAGUAGGGGACCAAGGACUAAAGGACUAAACCUUUGGGGACACCAACAAAGGAGGUUGUGCGGAAGAGUCAGAGCUAGAGAAAGAGACACUAAAAGAGCGCUGGGUGAGGUAGGAGGAGCACCAGGAGAGAGCAAUAUCUCAUAGACCAAGAUUACUGAGGAUGAGAAGAUGCUGUUGAUGAUCAACAGUAUCAAAAUGUCACAUAUUCAUCCGCUUAUAGAAAUGUGGUUAAUGACAUUUACUGUCCACACAGGAAAAGUUGUGCCGAGCAGCAACCUAAUCCACAGAAGGGUUAAUGCUGAGCAGUAAUUGUGCAAAUGAAACCUGGUGUCAUGUAUUCAUCCGCUUAGAGAAAAGUGAUUAAUGACAUUUACUGUCCACACAGGAAAAGUUGUGCCGAGCAGCAACCUAAUCCACAGAAGGGUUAAUGCUGAGCAGCAAUUAUGCAAAUGAAACCUGGUAACUGACUUUGGGGUCGGUUGCAGCCUAUCAGAAAGAAAGGAGGGGUAUUUAGGCCCAGUUCUCAGCCUGCUCAGUGCCCUGUCGUGGUUUCCCCUGUGGUUGUCUGAGAGCGCGUUCCUGUUUAUAGUUUUCUACCUGGUUUUUGACUUUGGCUUUGUUUAUUGACUUCUCUAUAUUCUGGUAUCCUGACUCCUGGCUUUCCUCAUCGCUGUGUCCCUUUCUGUGUUCCCUGACCUCGGCUAGUAUUUUUGACUAUCCUUUGUACGUUAAAUCCGGCCAUUCUAAGGACCGGUAAUACGUUACUUAUUUGUCAUCCAUGCUGUACAGUUCUACGUGCUGGAUCAAACAGUAAUCCUGACAUUACGACAUGGCCAUAGAUCCUGUAGAACUGUGUCAGCACAUAGCUGCUUGCGAGAGGAAAUUAGAGGAGAAUGAUCACUGCAUGGAUCAAUUCACUCAGGCUUUAAGUACGCUUCUCGCUAGAACGGAGCAUCUGCAGCCUGCAGCGUCUCCUCCUAUAGCACCUCUACCCUGUGUACCUCCACCCACUGUUAAUAGGACUCCUUGCAUCUCCUUAUCACCAUCCCUACAGUUUGAUGGCAAUAUCCAGGAAUGCAGGGGUUUUCUUAAUCAGGUGGAGUACCAUUUUGAGGCCUCACCAGGGUCAUUCCCCACGGACAGAGCAAGAAUUGGUUAUCUAAUGAAUCAAUUAAAGGGCAAGGCCCUUGCCUGGGCUAAUCCGUUGUGGGAGAGUAAUCGGAGCAUAGCUCAUAAUUACCAGGAAUUCCUUGCCGAAUUCAAGCUCACAUUUGAACCAUUGGGUAGAGAGGAUGACGCCUCCACUGCCCUAAUGCACAUCACACAAGGUAACCGGUCUAUCUCGGAUUAUGCUAUUGAAUUCCGUACCUUAGCUUCCGAGGUAGACUGGAUUAACAAUGGGUUAAUCUCAGCAUUCAAAAAGGGUCUCUCAGAGACUAUACUAGAUGAGAUAGCUGCUAAAGAAUUACCUAAGAGUCCUAACGAAUUUAUUACGUUUGUCAUGCAUAUUGAUAAUAGGUUAAGACUCAGAGAAGUCACCAGAAGCAAGACCAGACGUACGGCUAUGUCCCUAGCACCUCAAUUCUCUAAACCUGUUUUGUCUAACCUCCCUGUACAGUCCGAACCCGAACCUAUGCAGUUGGGGGUCACUAGACUGUCAGAGGCCGAAAAACAGUAUAGGAGAAGGGAGGGGUUAUGCCUAUAUUGCGGUAGAAAGGGACAUAUGAUAACUAAUUGUCCAGUGCGUCCGGAAAACUUCCGCACCUAAGAACCUUAAGGGGACAGAUCUUAGGUGUGAUGGAGUUGUCCUCUAACAAAAACAAAAGUAGAUUCCUCCUUGAGGUAUCUAUUUCCCUGAUAACAAGAAGUUUUCUUGCAGUGCCCUAAUGGACUCAGGUGCUGCUGGAAAUUUUAUUGAUGUCCAGUUUAUUAGGGGUAAUGAGAUACCGGUCAGGGAGAGACCUACGCCGCUAGCUGUAGAGGCUAUUGAUGGUAGACCACUCACACAACCGCUUAUAACCCACGAAACUGUCCCUAUUACGAUCUCCAUUGGGGCCUCCCAUAGGGAGGAGAUGACGUUUCAGGUUAUUACUUCUCCAUCAUGUCCUAUCAUAUUAGGGUUUCCGUGGCUGAGUAAGCACAAUCCCUAUAUUGACUGGGCUAAUGGAAUGGGGUAAAGAGUGUAUGGGGAGAUGUAUAAAACCAGUACUAAAGAGAUUGGAUACUAUUGACCUUCCCACUACCACUCCCCAAACUCCUGGAGUUCCCAUACAAUACCGAGAACUUCAGGAGGUGUUUAACAAGGCUCAAUCUGAUGUAUUGCCUCCCCACAGAGCAUAUGACUGUGCCAUUAACCUGUUUCCAGGCGCUAUGCCACCUAAGGGGGCAGUUUAUGCCUUAUCUCCCCAGGAGAGUAAAAUAAUGGAGGAAUACAUCAAAGAAUCCUUGAGCAAAGGGCACAUAAGAAAGUCAUCCUCACCAGCUGGUGCAGGAUUCUUUUUUGUUGAGAAAAAGGGUGGUGAGUUACGCCCUUGCAUAGACUACAGGGCACUUAAUAAAAUCACUGUAAAAAAUGCAUACCCUAUCCCACUCAUUUCCGAAUUGUUCGAUAGACUUCAGGGAGCUAAAGUAUUUACUAAGCUUGACCUUAGGAGCGCUUACAAUUUGGUUAGAAUUAAAGAGAAUCAUGAGUGGAAGACGGCAUUUAAUACCCGUAGUGGACACUAUGAAUAUCUGGUAAUGCCAUUUGGGUUAUGCAACGCCCCGGCCGUAUUCCAAGACUUUAUAAAUGAUGUACUCAGGGAAUUCAUUUACUCAUUUGUCUUGGUUUAUUUGGACGAUAUUUUGGUGUAUUCCCCUGAUCUUCAGACUCACCACUCCCAUGUGAAACAGGUUCUGCAGACGUUGUUGAAAAAUAAACUUUAUUGCAAAUUAGAAAAGAGCAUAUUUGACCAGCCUGAAGUCCACUUUUUGGGUUACAACAUCUCUGCAUCUGGAUUUCAAAUGGAUCCUAAAAAACUAGAGGCUGUACUACACUGGCCAUUACCCUCUGGUUUAAAAGCCAUUCAAAGGUUUAUUGGUUUCGCCAACUAUUACAGGAGAUUCAUCAAGGGAUUUUCUUCUGUAAUAGCCCCAAUCACAAAUAUGACUCACAAAGGGGUUAGUAGCACGGUAUGGUCCAAAGAGGCUGUGAAUGCUUUUGAGACUCUUAAACAAAAAUUUGCCUCUGCGGACAUACUAAAACAUCCCGACACUAGUAAACCUUUUAUAUUGGAGGUUGAUGCAUCCGAGACAGGGGUAGGGGCUGUUCUCUCUCAGAGAGAAAGCCAGGGAACACCAUUGCAUCCUUGUGGCUACUUCUCCAGAAAGAUGUCUCCUGCUGAGCGCAACUAUGAUAUUGGCAAUAGAGAACUGUUGGCCAUUAUUCUUGCCCUCAAGGAGUGGCGACAUCUUUUGGAGGGUUCCAAGGACCCCUGUUGAUCAUAACCGACCACAAAAAUCUGGCAUAUAUAGGGGAUGCCAAACGUUUGUCUUCCAGACAGGCUAGAUGGUCACUAUUCCUUUCACGUUUUAACUUUCUCAUUACUUAUAGACCUGGUUCUAAAAAUACCAAGGCUGAUGCUUUGUCCAGGCAAUUUGAUAAUGAAUCAGCUCCGGAACAGGUGACAUCUCCUAUUAUUCCACUAGAGUGUAUUAUUGCCACUACUGUCCUCUCACUGUCUUCUCCACUGCUUGGCACCUCCUGGAGGCCCAGCCUCAGGCGCCCAGUGGUAAACCGUGUGAUAAACUGUUCGUUCCCCUAUGUGAAAGGGUUAAUAUCAUGAAAGUGUUCCAUGACAAUAUAACUGCUGGACACCCGGGCAUCAAUAAGUCCACUGCCGCGAUCACUAGAUCAUUUUGGUGGGAUUCACUCAGGAAAGAUGUAAAGGAGUAUGUGCAGGCAUGCUCUGUGUGUGCAGUUUCUAAGGUGACUCAUGCACUUCCUUGUGGCCUGUUGCAGCCUCUUCCUGUUCCUGAGAUUCCAUGGUCCCACUUAUCCAUGGACUUUAUUGUUGAGCUUCCUAGCUCUGCUGGGUUCACUACUAUUCUCAUGGUUGUAGACCGAUUUUCUAAGAUGGCUCACUUCAUUCCUCUCAAGAAGUUGCCAUCUUCGCAAGAUUUGGUCCUAAUUUUCAUACGUGAAAUUGUCCGUUUGCAUGGCAUCCCCACAAUAUUGUGUCUGAUAGGGGCUCUCAGUUUGUGUCCAGGUUCUGGAGGGCGUUCAGUAAACAAUUGGGGAUUGAUCUCUCCUUCUCCUCCUCCUACCAUCCACAGACCAAUGGUACAGCUGAGAGGGCUAACCAGUCAUUAGAAGUUUAUUUGCGUUGUUUUAUUAAUAGCACACAAGACAAUUGGUCCGAACUACUCCCGUGGGCCGAGUUCGCUAGAAACAAUGCUGUUCAUGACUCCUCUGGGCACAGUCCAUUUUUGUCAAUAAUGGUAGGCAUCCUACGGUUCUCCCUGCGGUAUUUUCUGAUACUGCCAUUCCUGCUCUGGAUGAGCGUCUGGCCUCCAUUCGGGAUACCUGGGUUAAGGUUCAAACUGCUCUAGGGGCUGCUGCUGAACGCUUCAAACAUUUUGCUGAUAAGCGUAGGAGUGCCAACCCGGUGUACCAAGUGGGGGACCGGGUUUGGUUGUCAUCUCGCAACAUCAAGCUUAAGGUCCCUAGCAUGAAGUUUGCCCCCAGAUUCCUUGGUCCCUAUAGAGUGCUUCGUAGGAUCAAUCCAGUGUCUUACUCUCUGGCUCUUCCUGCAUCUUUAGGGAUUCCCAACACUUUUCAUGUGUCCUUACUCAAACCUCUUGUCUGCAAUAGAUAUACUGUUCCUUGUGUUCCUCCCCCUCCGGUGGUGGUGGGUGGUCAGGAAGAGUAUGAGGUAUCUUCUAUCGUGGAUUCUAGGUUUUCUCGGGGCACUUUACAGUACUUGGUUGUUUGGAAAGGUUACGGUCCUGCUGAUCGUUCUUGGGUUUCGGCUCCUGACCUGCAUGCGGGCCGUAAGAUCCGCGCUUUUCACGCUAAAUUUCCUCUCAAGCCUGGUCCUGUCCGCCCGGUGGGCGUUCUUCAGGUGGGGGUAAUGUCACAUAUUCAUCCGCUUAUAGAAAUGUGGUUAAUGACAUUUACUGUCCACACAGGAAAAGUUGUGCCGAGCAGCAACCUAAUCCACAGAAGGGUUAAUGCUGAGCAGUAAUUGUGCAAAUGAAACCUGGUGUAAUGUAUUCAUCCGCUUAGAGAAAAGUGAUUAAUGACAUUUACUGUCCACACAGGAAAAGUUGUGCCGAACAGCAACCUAAUCCACAGAAGGGUUAAUGCUGAGCAGCAAUUAUGCAAAUGAAACCUGGUAACUGACUUUGGGGUCAAAGGCCGGUUACAGCCUAUCAGAACUAAAGGAGGGGUAUUUAGGCCCAGUUCUCAGCCUGCUCAGUGCCCUGUCGUGGUUUCCCUUGUGGUUGUCUGAGAGCGCGUUCCUGUUUAUAGUUUUCUACCUGGUUUUUGACUUUGGCUUUGUUUAUUGACUUCUCUAUAUUCUGGUAUCCUGACUCCUGGCUUUCCUCAUCGCUGUGUCCCUUUCUGUGUUCCCUGACCUCAGCUAGUAUUUUUGACUAUUCUUUGUACGUUAAAUCCGGCCAAUCUAAGGACCGGUAAUACGUUACUUAUUUGUCAUCCAUGCUGUACAGUUCUACGUGCUGGAUCAAACAGUAAUCCUGACACAAAAGCAGCGGAAAAGUCAAGGAGAUGUAGGAUAAAAUAGUGACCAUAAGAUUUUGCAUCUAGUAGAUUGUUUGAUACUUUGGUCAGAGCCAUUUCCACAGAGUGCUGAGCACGGAAACCAGACUGAAAUGGAUCGAGUGGACUCGAGGAAGUCUGUCAAACAUACACAAGUCUUUCAAGGAUCUUGGACGCAAAAGGCAAUAGCGAGAUACGGUGGUAGUUGGACGGGGAUUUAGGGUUAAGGUUCGGCUUUUUUAGAAUCAGGGUUACAGUUGCAUGUUGAAGGGUAAUGGAGAUAUGCCAGAGGAGAAGGCGAGAUUGAGAAUUUUAGUGAUAGGCAAAGCAAGAGAAGGAGACAGAGUACAGAUGAGAUGUGAGAAAAUAGGAUCAAGGUUGCAGGUGGUGGGGUGGGAGAACUGGAGCAGAUCAGAAACCUCUUCCGCUGUAGUGUGUGUGUGAAUGAACACAGAACAGCAGAGGGAGUAAGGUUGGGGAAAAUAUUGUAAGGGGAAGGAGAGAGAUGAGAGAUAUCUUCCUUUGAUUGUAGAGAUCUUGUCAGUGAAGUAAGUUGCAAAGUUUGUAGCGGUUAAGUUGGUAGGAGGAGGAGGAGCAACAGGGCAAAGAAGAGAGUUAAAAGUGUGAAAUAGUCGUUUGGGUUGGCGGGAGAGUGUUGUUAUGAGGGUUUUGAAGUAAUUUACUUUUGCAGAGGAAAGAGCCAAGCUGUAAGAGGGCAGCAUAAAUUUUUAAGUGGAGAAAGUCAGAUGUGGAGUUAGAUUUCCUCCUGCAGCGUUCAGCCAUUCUUGAGCAUUUUUUGAGGCAUCAAGUCAUCUUGGUGUGCCAAGGUUGUAGUUGGGGGCGCUUGCUGUAUUUAAGUAUAGAAGGUGCCAUGAUGUCUAGUUGAGAGGAAAGGGUGGAAUUGUAGAAGAAGUUAGCAGAGCUAGGGCAAGUGAGGUUUGAGAUAGGUAAAAGGAGAGUUUGGAAUUGAGUGGAGAAGUUCGCUAGGUGAAGACAUUGGAGUUUAUUGUGAUAUUGAUGUGCCGGGGGUGGUGUAAGUUGGAUCCUGGGUGUGCUGAUGUCAAAAGUCAGCAGACGAUGGUCAGAUAGAGGAAAAAGCAUAUUGGAGAGAUUAGAGGCGGUACAGAGGUUGGUGAAGGUGAGAUCAAGAGUGUUUCCCACUGUAUGGGUUGCUGAAUUAGACCAUUGCAUGAGGCCAAAGGUGGAGGUUACAGAGAGCAGACGAGAGACAUCAGUGCACUUUGGGUUGUUGAUUAGGAUAUUGAAAUCCCCAAGUAUAAGGGAAGGAGAGGAGAGGAAGUGAGGUAGCCAGGAAGAAAAGUGCUUAAUAAAUAGCCUAGGAUGACCGGGGGGGAUGGAGGGGCCCGUAGAUGAUAAAUGAGUGAGUUUAAGUAGGCGGAUAGUGUGAACUUCAAAGGAAGUAAAGGAUAGGGCAGGAGCAGGGGAGAUACAGUGCCUUUCAAAAGUAUUCAUCCCCCUUGACUUUUUACCUAUUUUGUUACAUUACAGUCUUAAGUUCAAUUUUUUAUUAAUCUGAAUUUUAUGUGAUGGAUCAGAACACAAUAGUCUAAGUUGGUGAAGUGAAAUGAGAAAACUAUAUACAUAUGUUACAAACUGCAAUUUGUAACUGGCCCUUUAAAUGACAAAUGGCCCUGCUUCCCUGGGUUGUGGAGAAGCCUAAUUGCCAGCCUCCUUCCACAUGACUAUGGCCUCUGGGAGAUUUUGCCCCUGAAAACUUAUGGACUUUUAUUGGGUGUGUAUGGCCCUUUAAGAACCGUCUGGGGACAUAUUGUGACUUUGGUGAACAAUGCCCCUUUAAGACUAUGUCCCCAGACCUGUAAAAUAACUUGUCCCUGGCUUUCUCCCACUUGGUUCAGUAAAUGGGGCUUACUGAGCCAAGUACCACACAGGCGGACCACCCAGAAGUGGAAGUGUGCAGGCAAUUUACCUCCCUGGCUGGGAGCCUGCUGUAGGUAAAUUGCCGACCGCUGGGUGGCCGCAGUUCAUGCAAACCAACACGUGGCGGCCGCCAUCUUUGUUCAUUCGCACGAGGUCAGCGGUAUGUGUAGCCAAAUUCAUGGAACUGAAAUCGGCUACACAUUUCAACAAACACCGCUGACCUGUACCUUCUCCUACACUGAAUUUGCAGCUGCAGAGACUAAGUCCCGUUCGGCAAUUCGAACGCCCAUUUUUUGCAUAAAAUAGACCGACCGCACAAUCUAUGGAACUGUUUUGGGCAGGAAAAUGUGCUUGCGAUCGGUCAUAGGACUUCCAUCUAACUUUUUAUCCACUGCAUGGAUUUGUCUGAUUUCUGGUUAUGUUUAUAUUUAAAGUGUGCUGAUUAAUAAUAUGUAAUUUUUAUGAAGAUAUGUAUGGUUUAUGUAAGUUUUUAAAGUUACAGAGUAUUUAUAAAAACUGUAUUUUUCCUGCUUGUGAUAAUUAUGUUAAGCAUUGUGUGCCAUAUUUAGAUCACAGGCAGAGGGGAGGAUUUUUGUGGGUAAGUGCUGGUAGUGUUUUCUGUAAUGUAUGUAUGUUAUUGGUUAUUCUGUAAAACCCUGUGGGUGGUCCUAUGUAGGGAAAACCUGCAUAAAAGAAGCCCAUUUGGGGCCAAGUAAUACAGUUCUUCUUGAUCCCUCUAAAGGUAGCCUUGUCUCGUUAUUGGAGGUAGCUGUUAUAAUCACACUGGGGAUUGCUAUGCUCUGCAUGCUCCCCUGAGCUUGAAUCACUUAGCUCUUUUAAGAGCUUGUUCCUGACACGCUCUCCUUGGAGGAGAGGUCUUCCCCACACAGUCCUGGAUGCUGGAGGUUCAUACAGGGUGGAAGAGAAGAGGUCUUUCCCACACGGUCCUGGAGAACAGAAGCUGAUCCGGGGUGGAAGAAAGACGGCGAGACUCCAGUCAAGCUACAGCGGUUGCGGAGUCUGCGGUGGUUGUGGUGUCCGGUGCGGUGCUUGUGGUCCACAGCAGAGACUGGAGUAUCUGUACAUAGGAUGACAAUAAGCCAUACGCUCCAUAGAGUUGAGCUUUAUGGCAGAGUGGCCAGAAGAAAGCGUUUACUUUCAGCAAAAAACAAAAUGGCACGUUUUGAGUUUGGGAAAAGGCAUGUGGGGGACUCCCAAAAUGUAUGGAGGAAGGUGCUCUGAUCUGAUGAAACUAAAAUUUAACUUUUUGGCCAUCAAAGAAAACGCUAUGUCUGGCGCAAACCCAACACAUCACAUUACCCAAAGAACACCAUCCCCAGUGAAACAUGGUGGUGGCAGCAUCAUGCUGUGGGUUUUUUUUCAGCAGCCAGGACUGGGAAACUGGUCAGAGUUGAGGGAAAGAUGGAUGGUGCUAAAUACAGUGAUAUUCUUGAGCAAAACCUGUACCACUCUGUGCAUGAUUUGAGGCUAGGACGGAGGUUCACCUUCCAGCAGAACAAUGACCCCAAACACACUGCUAAAGCAACACUUGAGUGGUUCAAGGGGAAAAAUGUAAAUGUGUUGGAAUGGCCUAGUCAAAGCCCAGACCUCAAUCCAAUAGAAAAUCUGUGGUCAGACUUAAAGAUUGCUGUUCUCAAGCGCAAACCAUCCAACUUGAAGGAGCUGGACCAGGUUUGCAAGGAGGAAUGGUCAAAAAUCCCAGUGGUAACAUGUGGCAAGCUCAUAGAGACUUAUCCAAAGUGACUUGGAGCUUUGAUUGCCGCAAAAGGUGGCUCUACAAAGUAUUGACUUUAGGGGGGUGAAUAGUUAUGCACAUUGACCUUUUCUGUUAUUUUGUCCUAUUUGUUGUUUGCUUCACAAUAAAAUAAAAAAUAUUAAAAGUUGUGGGCAUGUUCUGUAAAUUAAAUGAUGCAAAUCCUCAAACAAUCCAUGUUAAUUCCAGGUUGUGAGGCAACAAAACACGAAAAAUGCCAAGGGGGUGAAUACUUUUGCAAGGCACUGUAGGUUGAAAAGUACAUUGACGUGAGAGAAGAAUGCCUACACCACCUCCUUUACAGCUGUUGGGUCUGGGAAUAUGGGAGAAUUGAAGCCCAUCAAAACAUAAAGAGGCAGGAGUAGCACUAUCAGAGGGGGAAAGCCAGUCUCUGUGAGUGCUAGUAGUGUGAGUGAGUUAGAGAUGAAAAGGUUGUGUUGGUCUGGCUGUUGAUUUCAGAUUGCUACAGAUAGAUCGGGCAUUCCAGAGUGCAAGGUUGGCAAAUGAGGGUAAACGUAUUGUGAUGAGGUUUGUGUGGUUUCUGGUUGUCUUAGUGUGUGCAGAGGUGGCGAAGGGCCCUGGGUUGGGAGAGACAUCACCAGCUGCUAGAAGAAGGAGGAGAGAUAGUGACAGGAGGUGUGCGUGGCUUUUGUGUGCAUGGGGUCUAGGAUGAGAUCGAUUGUGGGUAGGAAAAAGGAAGCAGAAAAAUGAGUGCAGGGCAUGAGUUGAGAGAAGGGGGACAAUAGCAGAGAGGGGGAAAUGUAAAGGUUACAAAAGAGAAAUAUUGUGUAUACAGGCGCUUAAAGAGAAUUAUAGUGGAAAAAAUGUGCUGCUACCACCAAUGUGUAAUCCUCUCACAAUUUAACACAGAUAUAGCAGAUAUAAUGGUAGACGGAGUGGUUAGUAAACCAAAACCAAUCAACAGGUGGAGCGCUCAAAGUGAGGUAACUCACCCCCCCUCUUGGGCCGUUUAAGAUAAUCUAGAGGUGAGGAUAGAAUAGAUAAUAAUAUCGUGUAGUAUGUUACAGACAAUAGUGAGGUAAUAAAAGAUAUGGACCCACUCACAUGGUUCUGAGCCUUAGCUAGACAGGCUCAGAUCUCUUAAGCAGGCGUGUUUGGGAUCACACGGAACCUUACAGUGGACGAGGGUCACGUUGUUCCUUUAAAAGAUGAGAGACCAAAUAUAGUGCAGUAUGUAGAUAUAUAUUGAUGGAGAUGGCAAAAAGUGCAUAGAAUGGCUCUGAAUCAGGUGAAUGAAGCACUAUCAAGGGUGUGGACAUUAUAAAAAAAAAUUGCUUGUCCAGGGGACUAAAGUGGUAACCCAGUCUACUUAUCAUGCCCUCUCAUGCCAAGUAACUUGUCCUGACACAGUGUUUUUAAUUAGGAAGAUUGGGGUUCCUCUGUAUUUGUGCAUGCUUGCUGGCUGUGUGUAGUGUGUGUGUUGUAGGCUAGCAGUGUGCACAACACUACUGGAUUCCCCUGAAGAAAUUAUUUUAUAGGAUGAAACUCGUAGGGCUGGAAGGACCACAUUCUGACUCCAAUUUCUGUUUACUUUAUUUUAAGUAUAUUUUGUUUAUUAACUUUAUACUGGAUUUCUGCAAUUAUUUUGUUCAGACUCCGGAGGAUUUCCUCAUACACUAUCCUCAUACACUAUCCUGAGUCCGGAAAGCAACAUUAUAAUAUGGAAGACAAAGAGUUCCAUCUCGUGAGUGUAUUUGAAAUAAAAGGUGUUUAAUUUUUUUAAACUGGUACACUAUGUUUGUGUUUCUCCCUCUCUCCAAUAUAUUUAAUGGGAUAAGAGAAAAGAACAGAAGGCUAUGUCCUCAAAAGAUACAUUUACAUGCCUGCAAUCAAUUUACUUUUGUGAGUGCAGUAUCAUCACCAGCGUUACAUAGAAACAUAGAAACAUAGAAUGUGACGGCAGAUAAGAACCAUUCGGCCCAUCUAGUCUGCCCAAUUUUCUAAAAACUUUCAUUAGUCCCUAGCCUUAUCUUAUAGUUAGGAUAGCCUUAUGCCUAUCCCAUGCAUGCUUAAACUCCUUUACUGUGUUAACCUCUACCACUUCAGCUGGAAGGCUAUUCCAUGCAUCCACUACCCUCUCAGUAAAGUAAUACUUCCUGAUAUUAUUUUUAAACCUUUGUCCCUCUAAUUUAAGACUAUGUCCUCUUGUUGUGGUAGUUUUUCUUCUUUUAAAUAUAGUCUCCUCCUUUACUGUGUUGAUUCCCUUUAUAUAUUUAAAUGUUUCUAUCAUAUCCCCCCUGUCUCGUCUUUCCUCCAAGCUAUACAUGUUAAGAUCCUUUAACCUUUCCUGGUAAGUUUUAUCCCGCAAUCCAUGAACCAGUUUAGUAGCCCUUCUCUGAACCCUCUCUAAGGUAUCAAUAUCCUUCUGAAGAUACGGUCUCCAGUACUGUGUACAAUACUCCAAGUGAGGUCUCACCAGUGUUCUGUACAAUGGCAUGAGCACUUCCCUCUUUCUACUGCUAAUGCCUCUCCCUAUACAACCAAGCAUUCUGCUAGCAUUUCCUGCUGCUCUAUUAGAUUGUCUGCCUACCUUUAAGUCAUCAGAAAUAAUCACCCCUAAAUCCCUUUCCUCAUAUGUUGAGGUUAGGACUCUAUCAAAUAUUCUGUACUCUGCCCUUGGGUUUUUACGUCCAAGAUGCAUUAUCUUGCACUUAUCCACAUUAAAUGUCAGUUGCCACAAUUCUGACCAUUUUUCUAGUUUACCUAAAUCAUUUGUCAUUUGGCUUAUCCCUCCUGGAACAUCAACCCUGUUACAUAUCUUAGUAUCAUCAGCAAAAAGACAUACCUGACCAUCAAGACCUUCUGCAAUAUCACUAAUAAAAAUAUUAAAGAGAAUGGGUCCAAGUACAGAUCCCUGAGGUACCCCACUGGUGACAAGUCCAAGCUUCGAAUAUAUUCCAUUAACUACAACCCUCUGUUGCCUGUCACUCAGCCACUGCCUUACCCAUUCAACAAUAUUGGAAUCCAAACUUAAAGAUUGCAGUUUAUUGAUAAGCCUUCUAUGUGCAACAGUGUCAAAAGCCUUACUGAAAUCUAGGUAAGCAAUGUCUACUGCACCACCCUGAUCUAUAAUUUUAGUUACCCAAUCUAUAGAACUUAACAAUAUCACACGAUUUUAGUUUUUUCCUUUAUAGAUUGUAUAUUUUAUGUAUUUAUGAAGAAGAUAGGAGGAAUAUUCUUACAAUCUUAAUAUUUUUAACUGAAAGGGAAAUAUUACUCUUUUUUUAUACUCUUCUACAUUUUGGGGUGCAACUUUGUUAAGUAUUUUAUCUUUCUAUUUUUUUGUAAAAUGUAUGUGCCUGUUGGUUGUGUGUGGUGUGUUUGUUGUCUGUGUUAUGUGCUGGCUGUGUGUAGUAUGCAUGCUCUUAAACUGCGUGUAAUGGCUGUCUGUGUUUUGUCCUACUCAUGUUUAUCUUUCUGUAUUGAGGGGACCUCAAGUGAGUGCAAACCACAGAAAGUGCUCAUUUGUCAGAGUGCAGGCUGAGGAAACUGGGCUCUUUGACACAUUAUUGUGCGAAGGGACUGCAAUAGAUUGAUUACUGUUGUCUGCAUGCAUCGGAGGUGCAGACCACAUGCUCUUCCUCUGGACCAUCAUCUCCAAGGACUAACCCUUCCUAGGCCUUCUGCACUCUUGCAGGGUAAAAAAAAAAGUGCCUACCCAGAACUACAUGACCUGUGCAUCAAUUGAUGGAAAUUCCACAUCACAGCAUUCCUAAUUUUUAUUAUUAUUAUUAUUUUAUAUAAUUAUUCUGAUUAAAAUUUUUUUUAUUUGAACAAAAUGGUGACAGACAUACAUAAUAUACAAAUACAUCAAUUUUAGAAUUGAAUAUACUAUAUGAUCCACCUCCUAAUACAUAAUACCAUUCUAUAACGAGAUAAUGAUCUUUAAAAUCAUCACACACAAAAAGGAAAAAAAAAACAUAAAAAAUCAGACCAAGAAUAUCCUACUUAUUUAGUUUGUUAUUAAGAUAUAUCUUUUUCAAUAUUUACAGGAAAAGACCGUAUUUUUAACCUAUACAUGUUUCAAAAAAUGAAGCGUGACCUAUAUAUAUAUAUAUAAACUCACUCCAUAAAAAAAAAAUCUAUUUUUUUCUUUCCUUCCCUUCCUUUCUCUAAUAAACAUGUACAAUUUAUAGACAAGAAAUAUACAUAUAUUUUAACCAUUUAUUGUAUAGUUCUUGUUUAUUAAAUGAGUACAGAGUAGAGCUGUCAGGUCACCUGCCCCAGCACCGCUCGCAGAAACCUUGCUUACCUCAGCACAGUGAGCGCGUCAUCUGUUCCGUCUCCAGACUGGCAGUGUGUCUGACGCUGCACGCUCCAGAGCAGCUUCCUUAAAUGUGUGCUGCACCUGAUCAUGUGACCUGGCACACAGUGAUGCCCUAUGAGACCACAAGGGAGGGAAGAAACUCCUCCCACAUGUUGUGUUUAACACUAAUUGGAGAUUAGCCAAUCAGACACACUCUGUGUGUAUAUAAGCUAACACCUCCCUUGCCUCAGUCCCCUUUUGUGGUCUUUGGUUUACCAUUGAGCGUUGCACUUGUUAUUUGGAUUUCCUGGUUAAUGAUAUUUGGCUUUGUCUCUUGUUAUUCCGUCUCUCUGUUUCCCUUGAUCUCGGCUUGUGUUUUGACUAUCCCUUUUUGCAUAACCCGACCAUUCUAAAGAUCGGUAUUGCAAUUCUCUCUACUCUGUCCUGUCUGCGUGUUGGGGUUCCCUAGUGAACGUUACAAGAGUUGGAUACAUUUCUUUCCAUGGGUUAUUGAUAUGUUAGUUUGUUAGUUGAUCUGUUAAGAGUUUUUUUUUUUUUUUAAAGGAAUACUUGCUUUCCAUUGUCUAGCUAUUAUGAUUUUGGCUGCUAAUAAACAAUGCAUAGCUAAACAUCUUAAAGAAGUUGUUGCUAAAUCCCACUUGACAUGUAAUAGAGCUACUUCUGGCUUCCAUUUUAAAUCAAAGUCUGCUAUUCGUUUAUACAAACUAUACGCCCAAGUCCAUAAUGGUUUAACCAUUUUGCAGUGCCACCAAAUAUGUAAAAAGGAACCAUCUAAACCACCUCAUCUCCAACAGUUAGAUACUUGGUUGGGGUACAUCUUGGAUAUUUUAUAGGGCGUCCGGUACCAUUUCUACAUUAUCUUAUAUUGACAUUUAACUAAGUUUAAACAGUGAGUGUUUUCUUGUAUAGCUUUAAAUGAGCGACACCAUUCCUUUUCAGUUAUUUCUAUAUCUAAUUCCUUCAUCCAUUUAUUUAUAAUCAUUAAAGGUUUAUUGUUGAUGGAAAAUAUAAAUUUGUUUGAUUUUGAUGUCACCUUUUUAACAUUUUUGUGUGAGAAUACCGUUUCUAUUGGGUUAGUAAUUAUAUUUGAAUUCCUCAAUAAGGCUUUAGAUCAAAAAAAUUGUAUUCUUAAAAAAAAGUAAAAAGUUCUUUAUUAGGAAGUUGAAAUUUGGCCAUAAUUUCUGCAAAGGGCAAUAUUUACUCUCCUUGUGUAAUGUCGGCUAUUCAUAUUUCAUUUUUAAACCAGUUACUCAGAGAUAUAUCUUACAUGUUAUCUUCUAAAGCAAUUAGUUGACAAGUUUUAGGAACUUUGUGUAUUAAUUUCAAACCUUUUUCUAUCACAUCCCAGGCUUGAAUAGUCUGCGCUAACAUUAAUGAUUUAUUAUAUAUUUGGUCUGUGUCUUUUUUUACUACUGUUAAACCAUAAACAGAAUUUAAGUCUGUCCUUUCUUACUGCUUCAGAUUCCAUUAUAUACCACAUUUCAAUUUUUGAUGUAUAAGCUUGUAACUUAUACACAUGUCCAAUUAUGUUUAAUGCAAGAUUGUAUAACUUACUGUAAUAUUCAUUGAAUUUUUUUACCAAUUUUCUCUGGAGAAGAAUAUAUAUUAUAGUCAACUAUCAAUUUAUUUAUCCUGUUAUUCGCCGUUUGCUUCUUAAGUUUUUUUGUUCAACAAUUACUUGCUCUAUUGCCUUGGUAAUACAUAUAUGAUCUUAACCAAGUUUUUUUUUUUACUUUUCUUCUAUUUUUAAAUUAAGUUUGUUCUGAAGUUCAGAUAGCUUAUCAUGUUUUGUUUAGAAGGCUGAAUUUUAUUUAAAUUUGAAAGCUGAAAAAAUUAUAUAUAUAUAUAUAUAUAUAUAUAUAUAUAGAUUGGCAAGUUCUUUACCCCUUAAUUUUUUCAAAUGUUUUUCAUUUUGAUAAAAUAUCAUCUCAGUACAACUUUGUAUGUGGCCCAUAAUGUGGAGUCUAAAAUAACCUGGAAGGCAUUUUCAUUCCAAAAAAAGCUAGAUAAUUCUGUCAAUUUUUUUUUAUAUUCUUUUGAUUUUAAUAUAGAAACAUCUAUCUUCCAAGUAUUUAAUCCCUGGGCCAUAGAUUUACCUAGUUCUAAUAUUACAAAACUAUGAUCAGACCAUGUAUUUCCUGUAAGUUGUAUUUUAUUAAUAUUUUCAAUUGUACUGGCUUUAACUAGACAUAUAUUGAUUCUAGAAUAAGAAUCGUGAAUGUUAGACAGGUGUGUAGUCUUGAUCUUCUGGAUAUAUAGUCCUCCAAGCAUCAUAUAAGCCAUAUAUGUUGCAUAGAUAUAAAGUGCAAAUUUCUGAUAUUCACAAAAGGAAUAUUACAGAAAGAUAAGAGGGAAUAAGACACAAACAGAUACAGUCAAUAAAUAGAUUAGCUCUAAAACUGGAAAGAAAAGGAAUUCACCAAAUCCUAUACAACAUACAGAUAAAAAAUAGUACACUAUACAAUAUAGUGUGGAUAGCCAGGAGCUAAAAAUUAAGUAAAAUAGGUAUAGACUUCAAAUAAUAAAAAUAAAAGUAAAAUGAAAAUUAAAUGAUAAAUGGUAAAUAAGUAUAGUAUUCAAAAUAGUCAAUGAAAUGUCUUUGAUAAAAAGUCCAAAGAAUGUGGAUUAUACAAAAAGUCCCAAGAAGUCUAUAAAUCCUGGAAUUAUACCAUAAAUAACUUUAGCCCUGCUUGUGAAAACAACACAGGGCUAUUAGUAUCUAUGCCUUAUAAUAUACUUUUAUAUAUAUAAAAGAUAUUUAGAGUCCAUGACUGGGCAUAUUAGUACAGGGAACCAGUAGCCCAAAAUAAAAUCUCUGUUAAUGCCCAAGUGCAAAAAUGAAGAAUGAAGAGUGACUUGACUUUUAAAACAGAUCAAAUUUAUUAGUAAAAAAUUAAAAAUAAGAAUAUAGUUCCAAAUUUAAAAAUGGCGAUCAAAAUCAGAGGUUAGCAUAUAGUCCAAUCUAUAGAGAAUGAAAAAGUAAGUAAAACCUGUAGUUCUGACCCUGAUGGAUUAGGAUUGUGGUAGUUGAUGUUCCUUCUGGAUCCUGGCAGCCGGUGAGGACGGCGUGCGUGUCAGCUUGCGUUUCACCUCCGACCUCACAUCGAGAGGUGAACUCCAAUCUCGCUGAAGGAUGUUGAAGUUGGGUCUGGAAUCCUAGCGUGUCAGGGAUAAUUACUGUUCAAACUCUUUUCGGCAAAUGUUUCCUCUUAGUUAGAUUGUGUGAUUUGCCUUAUGCAUUUCGUAGGGUACAGCCCUACUUCAUCACAGGAUUCUGAUCUGCAUAGUGUAUGGCAGUUUAUAUAUGCUUUACUCAAGUCACUAAUUACUUUUAUGGAAUAUUCAUUUAGAGAAGUAUUACAUAUACUACAUAUAUAUAUAUCUAUAUAUAUAUAUAUAUAUAUGUUGCAUAAACUAUUGAAUUUCUUGGAUUGUUUUAAGAUUACUUUGUCUAAUACAAUUUUUGUUGAUCUAAAGCCUUAUUGUGGAAUUCAAAUAUAAUUACUAAACCAAUAGAAACGGUAUUCUCACACAAAAAUGUUAAAAAGGUGACGUCAAAAUCAAACAAAUUUAUAUUUUCCAUCAACAAUAAACCUUUAAUGAUUUUAAAUAAAUGGAUGAAGGAAUUAGAUAUAGAAAUAACUGAAAAGGAAUGGUGUCGCUCAUUUAAAGCUAUACAAGAAAACACACUGUUUAAACUUAGUUAAAUGUCAAUAUAAGAUAAUGUAGAAAUGGUACCGGACGCCCUAUAAAAUAUCCAAGAUGUACCCCAACCAAGUAUCUAACUGUUGGAGAUGUGGUGGUUUAGAUGGUUCCUUUUUACAUAUUUGGUGGCACUGCAAAAUGGUUAAACCAUUAUGGACUUGGGCGUAUAGUUUGUAUAAACGAAUAGCAGACUUUGAUUUAAAAUGGAAGCCAGAAGUAGCUCUAUUACAAGUCAAGUGGGAUUUAGCAACAACUUCUUUAAGAUGUUUAGCUAUGCAUUGUUUAUUAGCAGCCUAAAUCAUAAUAGCUAGACAAUGGAAAGCAAUUAUUCCUUUAAAAAAAAAAAAAAAACUCUUAACAGAUCAACUAACAUAUCAAUAACCCAUGGAAAGAAAUGUAUCCAACUCUUGUAACGUUCACUAGGGAACCCCAACACGCAGACAGAACAGAGUAGAGAGAAUUGCAAUACCGAUCCUUAGAAUGGUCGGGUUAUGCAAAAAGGGAUAGUCAAAACACAAGCCGAGAUCAAGGGAAACAGAGAGACGGAAUAACAAGAGACGGAUAAUAUGAUAACUAGACCGCUCUUAAAGUUUUGGCUACAUAUUAAAAAUCUUUUGGACUUGAAAAACAAAGUCUUACCUGCAUUGACCUUUAAAAAUCUAGAUACAUGGAUGGAAAACAUGGAUACGUCCGAAUGGACUAGACUUGGUGUUAAAAAAUUAGCAGACUUAUUAGUAGAUGGUAAGAUUAUGCCCUUCGACGAGAUACGCAGAAUAUAUGAUAUUUCAUAUUCACAAGCGUUUAAUUAUAUUAGAAUUAAAAGUUUUCUGCAAAGCUCCCUUGGAAGCAACACGAGCUCUUUCUCAUUAUCUAAAUUAAAUGUCUUGAUAGACUCAGAGAAAAAUACUAAAAUACUAACUAGAUGUGUUGAGAUUAUAAAAGCUAUAAAAAGACCUGUUUAUCCUAUAGCUAAAGGUAAAUGGGAAAGAGAUUUGACAAUAAAAUUUGAUAUAAAGGAAUGGUAUAAGGCUUUACAAUCAGUUUAUUCCACGAUACAUUGUUUAAAUAUUAGGGAAGCACAUUUUAAAAUACUUAAUAGAUGGUACAUGACUCCCAAUAAGAUCCAGAAAUUUGCAAAGGCAGGGACAUCUAGAUGCUGGAGAUGCGGAAAUGAGGGAGCAAAUAAAUUGCAUAUAUGGUGGGAUUGUGCACCAAUUAAGGAAGCAUGGGUUCAAUUUUUGGACCAAGUAAAUAAAUUGCUGGAUAUAACCCACUCCUGGACUCCAGAUAAUUUGCUUUUACAUUUAAACCUACCGCAACUUACUAAAGAUAAAAGAGAUCUGCUGAUUCAGGCUUUGAUGGCCUUUAAAAUGGCUAUUGCAAAAAAUUGGAAGGGGACAACAAUUGAUUCAUGGCCACAAAUUAAGGCAUCUAUUAUUAUUCAAUGCAAAAUGGAAAGGGGAAUAGCCUCUAAUUUAAGUAUUAAUAUAAGACAAUUUGAGAUCUGGGAUGAUUGGAUAAAGGUCCUUGAGAAUUAAAUAUUGGAAUGUAUAUAUUGUGCAGUAAUCUAUCGGUAAUCUAUGAAGGAGCGGAAAUUUAAUCUAACUCUAUGUAAUCUAAGGGUAGAGCUGAAUAAAUAGGACAGGAUGGUCAACUUUGUUAUAUGUCUGUUAGUCUAUAUGUAUUUCUGUAUUUAUUGUAUUUAUUUUAUAUGCAUUGUAUGAUAUGUAUGCAAUGUAUAACAUGAUAUGUAUAUAUAUAUGUAUGCUUGAUGUAAAAAGAAAAUAAUAAUUAAAUAAAUUAUAUUAAAAAAAAUAUAUAUAUCCAAGAUGUACCCCAACCAAGUAUCUAACUGUUGGAGAUGUGGUGGUUUAGAUGGUUCCUUUUUACAUAUUUGGUGGCACUUAAGCUGAGAGUGCGAUUUUUUUUUUUUAUCUAUUGUUAUAUCAAAAACACAGUUGUUGAAGUCACCUGUAAUAAUUAAUAUGCCUUUUGAUAUGUUCUCCAUUUUCUUCAUAAUUUUUGAAAAUGUUGACAUUGGAUAAACAUUAGGUAAGUAGACAUUUACAAGAGUAUAAAUUGUUCCUUAUCUUACAAACCAUUAUUAAAAAUCUUUCUGACGGGUCAGAAUCCUGAAACAAAACCCCUCGUUUUUUAUUAUUUUCUAGGGAUGCCUGAUAGAUCGGUUUGAACUUAUUUCCCCCCCAUCUCUGGGGUUCUGACCGUUUCCAGUGUGUCUCUUGAAUGAAACCUAUUUUCAUUUUUUCUAUGAUAAAGGAGUCAUAUAACAUUUGUCUUUUCCUCUGAGUAUUUAAGCCUUGUACAUUAAUUGACAUUAUUUUAAGCAUCAAUAUAUCGAGUUAUCUUUUUCCUUUCCUUUAUUAUUCCUUUUUAUUUUUUUAUUUUUAAAUUACCACUUAUUAAUCUUGGACUGAUCAUAACAUAAUACACACACAAAAACCACAAAAAAUAACGAUUCACACUCGCCGUCAAUCAGAGGGUAUUGUCGGAUCGGUUUAUCUCUAUAUAUUGGUAUUUGGUUUCCUACUAUUGUUAAGUUAUUUUUAUAUAUUACAACAAAAACCUUGUCAUCAGAUUAUGAGCUGUUCAUUCUGCAUUUCUGGGUCUCCACUGCGUAAGAUACAGCUUCACUGGAUUUAGUACAUUAUUCACUGUACUGGCAUGACAUCUGCUGUGACUAUUUCAUCAAUACUUUGUACGAUGUGUUUUGAUCUCUGUAUGAUGGCAAUUUUAAAUAAAUAAUUUUUAAAUAAAAAAAAAAAAAAAACACAAAAAACAAAGGUGGCGGUACAUUAACUCCACCCACAUUAAACAUUAAUACAUUUUCAUAAAACAAAGUCCAUGAUUUCCUAAAUGUCGUGUAGGGCAAUUUAGGAAUCUAUGUGGAAUUUCCACAUAAAGAGGGGUAGGUGUCAGGGAGUGGAAUUGCAAUUAUAUUAUGAUAUUCCUUAGACAAUAUUUAUUGACCAACGAUUAAAAACUUUAUGGAAGUAGGGGCGAUAAUGUAAGAAGGCCAAAAAAAAUGAAUGCAGUAAAAAAAUAAUGCAUUAUCUUUUAUGUUUCCAUAGUUCCAUAAGGAAAUUAAUUACCCAUACUGUUGGAGAGAAAAAAAUAAAAUAAAUAAAUAUAUAUAUUUUUUUUUACCUAAAGUGAAUAUUAACUAUCCUUUUUAUCCCUUCUUUAUUAAUUUCCCUUCUCUUCACUUAUUUUCUUUAUCUCUACCUCUACCAAAUAUUCUCUAAUAAUUUUUUCACACUUGUGUUAUUCAUGACGUUAAAUGAUGUUAACUAUCCAUGUGAUAGUGAAACACAUAUUUUCCCGAAAGAAGUGGUGAUGUAUUAACCCUAGUUUUUCAUUAUUGCAUUACUUAUACCGUUCUAUUUUUCAUAUUUGAAACACCCAGAAAAAACCCCAACACAAUUUCUAUUUGAAUGAUCUAUUUAUGUUUCCAUAUUUCCAUAAGGAAUUAAUUACUCAAGACCUAGUGAAAACAUUUAUACAAAUUAGUGAUUAUUAUUAAGCUAUCUAAUUUAUACCUUCUAUUAAUUAAUUACCCUUUUCUUUAGCCAUUUUAUUUAUCUUGUGUUAUAUUAUCGUGAAAAUUUAUGUCUUAAAGACCUCAAAUAAAUAUUCUCUUAUAAUUUAUGACACACUUGUGUUAUUCAUGACUUUAAAAUAUAAACUAUAAGUGUAGUAGUGAGGCACUUAUCUUUAAAAGAAGUGUUUGCAUAUCAAGCCUAAAUUUUAAAUUUUGCAUUAUCUACACCAACAUGUUUUUCAUAUUUGUAACAUACAGCAAAAAAAAAGGAAAAAAAAAAACAAAAGAAAAAAAAACCUUUGGCCCAACAGUUAACCAUCUGCCUAUCGCCUCAUCCCCCAUAUUUAAUUAAUUGGAGUUCUUCAUUCUAACUUCUUAUUGAUAAGCCAUUCCUUUACUUUUUCUGGGAGUUCAAAUGUCUCCAUUUUGCCAUCAAUUAUAAUUAUCAGAUUGGUAGGGAAACCCCAUCUAAAUCUUAUAUUGUGUUUUUUAACGAUAGCGGUUUCUGGUACAAACGAUCUUCUUUUGAUAAGUCAGGAAGUGCCAUAAUAUUUAAAUAUGGACCGUCUUUUAUGUUUUUUUUCUCUGUUAGCUUUCAAAACUUUCUCCUUAAAUUCAUACAAAUGGAAACAUACGAUAAUAUCUCUAGGUACUUUGGUAACCAUAUUAAGAGGUUUAUUUAACCUAUGGCAUCUAUCAAUUUUCUCUUCAUAACCAUUGAGUGUGAGACCCAGGUCUUUGAAAUAAUCCUUCAGUAAUUGCAUUAAAUCUUCUUGUUUGGCUGUUUCUUUAAAAUUUCGAAAUCUUAAAUUUUUCCUUCGAGAGAGGUCUUCAAGAUCUUUUAUUUUAUUUUCAAGGUAAGAUAUUUUUGUUGUCAUUCUUAUAGAUUCAUCUUUUAAUGUUCUUAUUUGAAAAUCCAUAUUUCGAACGAGAUCUUCCAUUGUUGGAUCUUAUUUGUCAGUUUCGUUUUUUAUUUUCUUGCUUGAUUUCCACUGGAUUUGAGAACAUUUCUUUCUUGAUUUCUUCCAGAAUAUUCUGUAGACUUGCAUUAAGGACUUUAACCGUAACUUCUUCAUUUUCUUUUCUCGUUUCCAUUAAUGACAAAUCUAAGUUAGACAAUGGUUCUCUGGUGGCUCUAUCUGUUAACUCUUUAGUGUGGGGUGAGAAGUAAGCGGAGAGACUUUUAUCCUGUUUAGAUUGUUUAGAUUUUUUUUUCUCUUUUAGAGGUUAAUUUUGGUUCUUGUGUUGUUGUUUUUUGUGGCCCUUUUAUAUUUCUUUUUUCUUCUCUUUCUUCUCCCUUAUUCCUUUGUUUUUUCUUUCCUUUCUCCUUGUCCUUUUUUCUUAAGUUUUCUCACAGUUUUUCCCUUUCCUCUUCUUUUUUUUCUCACUCUUCCCUUACUCUAUCUUUUUACUUCCCCUUUAGUUAUUCUUCGUUUACUUUCCUUGCUCCCAUCUAACCUUCUUGAAACGUUUUUCUUUUUUUUUUUAUUCCCUUUCCUUCACAGCAAGGAACACAGUAUCAUUAAAGUAAAGCGAUUGUAAUGUUAAAAUACUGCAAGAAAAUAAUAUUUGUUUUGCUUAUCUUUUAGUUGUUUUUUGAUUUGUAUCAAAAUUAGCCUUUUCAUUUUCUUAAAUCUGCAGGUCCAGCCGCACGCUGCCUCCCUCAGCAUUUACCCCGUCUCCCAAACCUCUCAGUCAUGUUGAGUCUUGAAGCUUCAGGUACAGCCGAACACCGACGCCCUCAGUAUUUACUCCGUUUCCGACACCUCACGGUCCUGCUGGACAACACCAACCUUCGUUCAUCAAUGUCUCUCCCGGUCUCACUCCACAAUAUACCACCACGAUAAUUGCUUACAUUCAGUGCUUCGUAUGGCGUCUAGCAUGGAACUCGAUAAGCCCCAGCAUUCUUAAUUAAAAUAUUUAUACACCAUUCCUAUAACUAGACAGAUAAUAUUCUCAAAAUAACAGAAAGCAAAAGAUUCAUGGAAAUGUGACCCCCACUUAUGAAAAUCAGUGAAAGGGAUGUGUGACAUAAUCUAAAGCAAACAAAUUAAACAUAUUGACUUCUAGAGUCUCCAAAAUACAUAUAUUGAUAAGUAUACACGCUGCAUAACACUCACAGAGCUUUUGUUUUUAUCCCCUGUGUAACACUAUCUGAAUUAUUCAAUAAAGUGAG